Molecule: long non-coding RNA, 76481 nt
Filed under: Coffea arabica (coffee)
Lineage: Eukaryota; Viridiplantae; Streptophyta; Magnoliopsida; Gentianales; Rubiaceae
Description: long non-coding RNA (CARA_LNC007017)
Source: RNAcentral
ACUUUUUUUUUUUUUUUUUUUUUUGUGUUUGGGGGGGGGGGGGGGGGGGUGGUUUCUUUUAGGUUUGAUUUACCAUUUUUUCAUUAACAGAAAUAUAUUUUGAGGCUAUAAAAUCAUAUGUAAAAAAUCCAGAUGUUGAAAUUACAUGUAUUCAAACUUGUUUUUAUAUACAGUGAAUAACCAUAAGUAGCCUACCAAAUAAAAAAUAAUAAUAAUAAGCACACAAGUAAACAUUAAAAUUAAAUGGAUUUAAAUUAGCCAUAUAAGAGCUUUUUGUGUUUCCACUUUUUAUUACGUUAAUGCUGCGUUUGGAUUGGCCAUUUUUUAAAAAACAAGUUUUUUAAAUACAAUGCUAUAGUAAUACACAAUAAUUCAAAAAACCUCAUCCAUAUAAUAUAUCAAAUAUUUCAAAAAAUUUUUAUAGUAAAAAUUUUUCAUAUACACUGCUACAGUAAAAAUUUUCAAAAACACUCCAAAAAACAACUAAUUCAAAUGGAAAAUUUUCACUCUAUUGAGAAUUGGGAUUAACAUUAUAUGAGUUUUUAGUGAACAUGGCUUAUGAAAUUAUAUUUAAAUACUUUAGAGAGAAAGUAGGCAGGAGUUAACAAAAUGAACAAACAACAAUCCGUUCUUUUUACUCAUCAAAAGUAAUAAAUCUCACAACAAGCAUUUAAAUUUAACUUAUUGGUGCCUGUAAUCUUUGGUAAGUGAAAUAGGAAUACAAGACGAUUGACCGUACUUGAACUAAAGAUGAAAGGAUUCCUCAAUCAAUCAGGAGACAAGAAUCUUGGAUGACAUUUAAUUCUUUCUUAGAUUCCAACAUCCAGCUUUUAAGUUUUUCUUUUUCAUCCCUAAUGAAUAAAUAAUGAUUGCUAGUGUGGUUGCACAGGCUGUUGUUGAGGUUUCAGAAUCUACUGCUAUCAAAUACUACUAACUACUAACUACUAGUAGUAGUAGAGGAUUGAAUCAUCAGCUAUCCAACAAGUUGUUGAUAAAAAAGAGACGACUGGGAAUAAAUAAAUAAAUAAUACUUUUCAUGCAAUAUCUAAUACUCCAACCACUUACCAAGGUUUUCAUUCAAGCUUUUAACUUACAAAAAAAAAAAAAAGAGGAGCAGAUUGGAGGAUGUCUUGAUUAUUAUUGGCCGAAAGUGCCCAAGUCAGAGAGCACCUCUUUCAUUUUCUUUUGUUGAGAAGCUGAUGAGAUUGGGUUAUCCAGCAGGAUUGCCACCUUAGCCAGAAACUGAAAUCAUAGUGUAUUUAUUACUGACAUUUUGGUAUUCCGAGGUCAAGUCUCUCUCUCCUACAUCUCUGCCUCUCUCUCUCUCUCUCAUUUCUUUUUAGUAGUAGUAUUUGAUCGGUUGCGUUGCGUGUGGAAAAUCUGAACCCCACAGCCAAGAAAACCUCUACACUCAAAGCAAAUUAGUAUACUAUAGUAAGUAAUAAUAAUAGACCAUCCCAUUAUAUUCCCAUAUGCUUGUUCUGUUAGCCCUCCAAUCUUUGAAUUUUCUGUGGAAAAUCUGAACCCCACAGCCAAGAAAAACCUCUACACUCAAAGCAAAUUAGUAUACUAUAGUAAGUAAUAAUAAUAGACCAUCCCAUUAUAUUCCCAUAUGCUUGUUCUGUUAGCCCUCCAAUCUUUGAAUUUUCUAAACACUAGCGCUAUGUCUUUUAUUGGAAUGACGACUGGAGUUGCGAAAAGGCAGUUUCCAUUUGUUUAAUGGAAGCAUGCAAUUUCUGACAUUCUCAAUUUCUUGGAAACAAACCACCAACCCCCUACUCCCACCUCACCUCCUGCUCAAAGUGAAAUUCCCAAUUCAUGUGCUCAUGAAAGCAUCACAAAGACUAUCUAUCGAGCCAUCUUAUCUUCUCUUAUCUAAAACGGCAUCUUCGUUUAAAUGGUUUAUCAAAUUGCACGCUCCACAAGCAAAAUGCAGUACUCCACUAGCUUCCAAGACAAAUGGAAAUCUCCACCCUGCCCUGUAUUGCUGAUGAUCUUCUCUGCUUUUGCCCAGCUAAUGAAGUGGUUGGUUAUUUAGGAACCCACGAAAAAUUAUCUUCAUUGCACAAGCGUCACUCCAAUUUGAAGGAGCUGUUCAACCAAUUUCACUCCCUAAUGAUAUGAUCUGAUACGAAACUUGUCUGUUAGUUGUCAUGAAUAAGAGAAAAAUUGUGAUGCACUGAUCAUUUUAAUUGGCCCUUUGUUCCACCAACUCCAGCCUUAGAAUUAUGGAGCAUCUCCUUCUCCCAAGCAUCUGUGGGCACGUUACACUUUCUUGGAGGGCAUUCCAACCAAUGCAUUGAUAAAACUCUCAGACGAAUAAAGGAAAAAAAAGCAUUUAGUAGAGGUCACCAAUCUCCCAAAAGGAAAUCGAAGGAAGGGUUGUGAAGAUGAUGAAAGAAUGAGUGUUCAUCAUCGCCUCAAACCUCUUCUUUUCCUUUCCGACCUCUUAAACGAGAAGAGCAACAAAUUUCCUCUUUUCAUAAUUUCUGCCCUCUUCAUUUUCUUCGCUAAGAUCGUUCCCUAGCAACUUCAUUUUUUUUCUUAUCCUAUUGAGCAGGUGAUGGACAAUCUAAAACAGUGGGAGCAAAAAGAAAUGAUAAAUUCCAAUCUAAAAGCCUUGUACCGUAAAAGGAAAAAGACUUCAACUUCCAAUAAUCAAUUGAAUACCUAAUGAAAAUGUCAAAACAUUCGUUCUGUUUAUACUUAGUCUAAAACAAUCGUAUCAGUCCACAGUAGCAUAAGAAGAAAAUACAUCCCUGGAAGUUUUACAAGGAGCGGGCAGAGGAUGUAUGAUCUGCUCAAACACUUCUGAGAGCCAAUCGCCCCAACUCUUUCAGAUGGAGGCAAUUUUAUUGCCCAGAACAAUUGGUCUUAUUCAUUUAGCCAGUCCCGUUGUUUUACAAAUGGGACAUAAAUUCUUGUGUGUAAGCCAUUGUUUAAUACACUCGGCAUGAAAAUCAUGCCCGCAGUCCAGAGAACCAAGAUCUUCACCAUCACCAUAUUCUUCCUGCAAAUAAUAAGGUAGGUAGAACUUAAGGCCCCGCUUAUAAGAGCCAUAAAACUGCCAAAUCAACAGCAAAAGCAAAAAUCGUAUCUUGCAGAAACCCAGAAUGCAAAGACUUGGAUGGUUUACCUGACAUACACAGCACGGCUCUGUUUCAACCUCAACUGUUUUAUUGCUUACAUACUUCCGUUGUUUCAACUGUUUCAAAAUGGUUUCUUCACUCAAACCAGUGCUCACAUUUCCAAUACGCUCUUCUAGUGCCAAUAAUUCCUGUAACGGUGCAGGAAAUGAAGUUUUAAGAAUGUGUAGCACAAAGCUCAUGAUACAAGAUCAAGAAAUUACUGCCUAGGUCACCUCAUAUGACAUGUUAUCAACAUCAAGCCGCAUAUCCCUAUGGCGAUCAUGAAAAUCAGCCAUCCCGAAAAAGACUGAUUGGUCAAGAACCAUGACAUCCUGUCACAAACAAAAACAUUCAUCAAAUAACUAAAAACAAUACGUUGAGCUUCUCACAAUCUACUGCCCAAAAACUAGACAAGACAAAAACUAGCUUGCCUUGCCUUGCCUGUGCCACAAAAAGGAGGACGAAGCAGGAGUACUAUUCUCAUGACACCUCACCCUUUUAUACAAGGUAUCAGUCGCCUUCUAAAAGCUGAUGCAAAUUAUUUUUUGAUCUAUCAAGAGUAACAUUUUGAAGUAUCAAAAUAUCACCUGUUAGUGUGCAUCUAAAGGAGUGCGCGCAAUCUUCCGAAUUUUUUGCUAUCAAAUAUCUAAGUUAUUGUCCUGUGCUAUUUUUUGCACCAACUACAAAGGUGAUUUCUAUCCAAUUAAACAUUCAAUGUAGCCUGCAAUUUGCUGUCUUCCACAGGACAGAGAAUGAAUACUUAAUCAACCAGAGUAUCACUACAAAAUGCUGGAUAAUGUAGGCAAAACUUGUCUAUUUAUACCUAGAAAAUUAUCGUAGCAAUGUCAAAAUACAAAAGCUUUCAAUUAAUGUCAAAAUCUAACCUCAAAUCGCAAGCCCUCUCCUCCCCUGCGCAUGAGAUCCAAGACAUUGCGUAUCUGCUAAUUAGCCAAAAAGAAAACACGAUUAUUGACAUUUAUAUGACGAUAUGCCAAAAAACAUAAAGAAAUCUUCAUCAUGUUUGAAUGAUUCAGCUGCAACGAAGUGCCUUAAAGGCAAGAGUGCUAUCUGGAGAUACGAUCACAACAUUAAGUGCCAAGAUGAAAUUCAAUAGAUAACUUGCAGAAAAGAAAAAAAUCAUAUCAGAGUUGUUAACCAUAGUUUUAAAAUAGGACAUUUAACAGACUUAAAUGAUAUACUAAUAAACUUCAGGAAAAAGAUGGCUAACAAUUAAGAAUAUUGGAAAACAAACGGGAAAAGAAAACAACGAAAAAGUAAAGCAACAUGAUGUACCUCAGACAUUAGCCUGUUUCUUCCUUCACUGGCAGCAGCCAAAUUUCUUAAUGAAUAAGAUCCAAAAGCAGUAUCAAGGUGUCUCUCCAACAAUAUUGCUGACCUUGAACUUGCUGCAUGGCGACCCUGACUACCAGAUCCAGAUGAAAGUGGCAUGUCUUGGAGGACGAGGGACCUGUCCGCAGUGAAGGAUAAUUGCUGCUGUGACCUCCAGAGUCGCUAUCAGCUGAAGAUGACGAAGAUCUGCGAACGAAUUCUGAUAGUCUCCUUGGAUACUGAGAAGGAUUCCGAUGGGGUGUCCAAGUAGGGGUAGAUGAGUGGACAACUGCACUAGAGCCAGUGCGGGAAGUUGAUGCAGCGUUUCCAGGAUUACUGACACUUCCGCCAGCUAAACUCCAAUUAGGAGGGUUUUGUGAUGAAUUUCGUAUCUCCGUUGGUGGUACAAACAUGGGAUGUUCUGAAAUGUGCCUUGCCACACUGGAUGAACUAGACUCCUCAUAUGGUACAGCAUCUAUAUCUCCAGAAAUGGCAAAACUAGAUGAGCUUCCAGUUCUUGAGCUAGAUGCUCCAUUCCACCUGGAAUGUGGGUUUCGACGCACAGAUGACACAUGCACUACAACUGACUGACCUUGAGAACUUCCACUGUCGGUCGUAGGUGCAGGUCUCACAUCCAAAGAAUUAUUACGGGGGAGCAACCUAAAUGAAUGCUGAGCGGAUGAACUAUUAGGAUUUCCAACAUCAGUCUCUGUGGAGACUAUAUUAUUGCGUGAAGAAUCUUGUUGAUGUGAGGCAUUUAUCCUCAAGCGAAAAUUUCUGCGGGAACUCUCUGCAGUUCUUGAAGCAGUUAAUGGAGGAUGACUAUCAGAAGAUGCUCGUCCAACACUUAAUCCGAGUCUCGGGAUUACCUGCUCUGGUAGAUUGACCGUUGAGUUGUUUUCUGAAGGGGCAGCUAUACCUGUGCUGCUGGAUGCAUUAUGCCUAGCUGGUACUGAAUGCCAUAGAUUGCUCUCAGCAUGUUGAACCAAGUUUGAACUUCCACUCCCAGAAGAUUGUCCAGCAUUUCCUUCCAGUGUUUUUCUUUUACACGAAAACCUUCGACCAUCCAAUGAACAGCCAGGCCUCCCAUCAGCUUCCUCCACCAAAAAUCCACCAGUUCCAGAAGAAUCCCAAAAGGAUUGGAAGAAUUACUAGCAGAUGCAUCCGCUCAUUCACUGAUUCACUAGCUUUGAACGCAUUUUGACAUUCCAAAACUUGGCAAUCAUCAUCCUCAUCUACAAUAAUAUCUGAGUUCAUAUUCAGAUCCUGCCGAAUGGAUUCAGAGCCUGAAUUUUGCAUAAAGAAAGUCCCACUUGCACUUCAUUGCUGUGCAUAUUUACACCAACAUUAUUUAAUGAAAGAAUAUUAGAGGGCCCAUAUUGCUGUCCUUCUGCGCCAAGAGCUGCACCAGCACAAACAUUUAUUGGAGAUGACCACCCAUGUUCGUUUUUCCGAUCAGUUUCACUAACCUCGCCUUGUUCCCCUCUAGAACUGCUUUCACCGAAAUCCCAUCCACUUAAAUUCUGCCCUGGUUGGUUCACUGCAUUUAGAAAUCCAACACUUGUGUCUGUCGGCGACAUCAAAUAAUCAGGUAUCCUGUUUUGUGACGAAUUCCUUAUGCUAUUCCAGUGCACCUGCUGGUCUAAGCUAGUAUCGCUUGAUGUUGAUCCAUGAUCAAUGCCUAAAACUUCAGGUAAGGAACCAACAGCACUCCUUUGCCCUUGCAUUAGGGCUGAAUGUGCUUCUUCAAGAUUUCUGAACAGCUCCAAAAAAUGCUUACGCAAACAGAGCUCAGAAAGCAGUUCUUCAGGUAAUCUGAGAUUGUCAGUAAACAAAUUCACAUGAUUAUGAUUUGGCCAUAAAAGAGAAGCCAAAGAUAAGAGAUAAUACAACAGCAGAACUGGUAUUGCAGAAUGACGUUAAAUACAAAGUCUUUCAGUGCCACCACAAAAAUGUAUGCAUCUAACCACUAAGAUGCUUUUGAAAAAUUAUGUACUAAAUGUGGUUUGUUACAGACCUUAACUGCCAGCAUUCUAUGACCAUGCAGUCUUACCAUCAGCAUUCAGAUUACAGAACACAAAAUCAGAAUGCCAGCCUCACCAUUUCAGUAUUUGUUGCAGAACACUGACAGUGAAACAUGCCGGUGAAGGUUUCAUGCAUGCCAGCCAAAUGUUCUAACUUUCAUGACAUAAAAACUUUACCGCACCUAAAAAGCAAUGCAGGCAUGCAUUGUUCAUUGGCCUCGAGCAAAGCAUUGAGAUAUCUAGGUAUGUGCUAAAGGUUUGUUAGUCUGCUAACAACAGUAAGGUUGAUUACAACCAAAACUCUUGAAUGCAAGUUGCAAAUAUAUCAUUCUUCCAUCAUCCCAACAACUUGAAGCAAAAAAAUGAGGAUACAAACUUAGCUAACCUAGCAACAACUUAAAGCACGAAUAUGAAUUUACAAGCUUUUUGUUCUGAUAUCCCAAUCUUUACACAAAAGAGAAGACACAACGAAGAAUCACCAACCAUAAAAUGACAUUGCACUAAAGCGUUACUUAACAAUAUGAUCACACCCGAUGUGUAAAUAGACGAAGAAAUUAAUAAAAGCAAACUGCAUCAAAAAUAGAUUUUUUGUAGAUAAUAAAACUAGGAAGAUUCUAUUAUUAUUUUUCUUGGAAAAGCCUUAAAAUCAUUAAUCAAAAUGGAUUGGUCAGAGAAGAAAACCACCCAGAAUCAGCUCUCAAUCCAACCAUCAAUGAGUCAAGUACCAAAAGUCAUAACUUUUUUUUUUCAAAAUUAUAGGCAUUUGCUCUGAACAAGAAGUAUUUGGAAACAAGAAAGAUGCAAGGAAAUGAAACGAGGAAAAAAAACUAGAAAAUAAUAAAAAUUAUCAAAAAGUCAAGAAUCAAUAGAGGAGGAUGAACCAAAAAUGGUAUGAUUCUAUUACCUAGACCAAAAAAGAAUAGCAGCCCAGAACGAACAGCAACCAAGACUGGAUUUUUAUCAGACAAACAGCAGCAGAUUAAGCUGUAGAUCUACAGUCAAGACCUGAAAUGCAAAAUAACCGCCAGAAAUCAGCGCUGUCAAACAAAAAUAACAAAAAAAAAAACAAUCUUUCCAUCCAAAUUUAAGAUUCUUUUUCCUCUAUCGGCCACAAAGAAAACAAGAUAUUAAAAGAAAAAAAGCCCAAAACAGACAGACCUCACUGCUGAACAAUCUGUGAUAGAUGAAGAGAUACAGAUGGAGAAAAGGAGAGAGAUAAGAAUAAAGAGAAAAGGUUUUGUAAGAAGAAGAUGAGGAAGAAAUGGUGGUUAUGGGUGUGAAAGAGGAUGGAAGAGAGAUGGGUGUGCUAUUAGCAUUUAGCAUUGGGGGGGUAGAAUAAUGAGGCUGAUUAAAGCCAGACCAACAGUAAUCCUUUGCUAUUUCAGUCAAUUAUGCAUUUUUGACAUUUCAGAAAAUUAAAAAGUCAUGUUAAUCACGAUCAGAAGCAACUGAAUUGAAUGCAAGAAAUGUCAAGGAUGGAAAAUGAAAUGGGACAUGAGAAAGAAAAUACUACUAAUAGAAAUCGGUAUUCGGUAAGGCAGUGGCAGUAAUAGUAGCGGUAGAAAACAAAACCAAAAACUGAAAAGAAAAGAAAAGAAGAAAAAGGAGAGGAGUUGUCAUGUUCAUGCAUAUGUGGGUUAAAAGGCCGCUUACCAAAUGGCUUUUUUUCCUCAUGUCUGAUGUCUCCCCUCUCUUUUUCUAUUGCCCUUAAACGUUAAUCGCUGUCUUGAAAUUUAAAGCUCUUCUUUCAAGGAAGGGGUUGGAGGGCUGGACGCCUAAAGCCUAAAGGGCAUAGUACGAGUACUAUAGUUUAAUAAGAGCAGUAAAUAUUUUGGUUGAAUGUUGAAAUGUUUUUCUUUUUUGGUUGGUCUUUUCUGUCAACUCAACUGUGUCUCCCCAAUGCAUCUCCACGCCGAGCAGCUGGCCCCUGUUUGGCAUCUCAUAAUCACAUGUCCGUCUUUGCACUUCGUUUCUUUAAAUUUAAAGGCCUAAUGAACCUGCUUCUUGGUUUCACACUUGUGGGCUGUGGCAGUCUUUUUUUCUUUUUUCUCUCUCUUUUCUCUUGGGAGGUGUUUUUGUGCUGGUGGGAGUGUUGGGGGGGGGGGGGGGCGGGAGGAGUGGUUUUUUUUCUUCUUCUUCUUUUUUUUUUUUUUGUUCUUUAAAAAUAGUAGUUUUGGUGAAACUAGUGGAAUCCUAUUAUUAUGUUACCAUACUUGUUUCAUAGUUUUUUAAUUGUUCAUUUUAAUGCUGAAUUAAUUCCUGCUCUGCAAUAAUUAAAAGAUAAGAAAUGUAUAAACAACGAGGAUACAAAUUUUUAGUCAAUUAGACGUGAGAAUCAGCAAUCUUUUCCUUUUUAAUGUACGCACAAAAUGUUAAUGGGCGAUAUUAUCGAAAGCAACUAAUCGUAUCAGAAAUAUAUUAAUUCAUCCCGUAGGUAGGUGUAAGUAAGAAAUUUGAAUUUUUUUUUUUUUUUUUGAGCAGGAGAUUUUGAACUCUGAACAAGCUUUGAUUGAGUUGAGUUGAAUCAAACAAAUACGAGAUGGAGGUCUCCUUUUUCCCUUUCAAAUUGCAGUAUUGGAACAAUCAAACCAAUAGUAGUAUUAGGAAACGGCUGGGUGCUCCAAUGACCCCAAGAGGAAAACGAAAGAAUGGAAUGCGUCUCCAAUUAGCUCAUUCAAAUUUGUCCAUUUUAUUCAAAACACGUGAAAAGCAUGGCAAACUAGUAGUAUCAAUUUAACACAACUAUACAGCUUCUUUUCUCCAGCACUUUAACGAAAAAUUAGCGUACAUGAAUACAGGGUGCAUACCAUGAUUUGUGGGGUAUUUUCCAUGUUAUUCAUUUAUUUUAGCACACAUACAUCCUAGCAAGUACUCAAAAUUUAUUUUUCUUUUUAUUCAUAAGCGUCAGCUUAUCAAUUAUUAGUAAUUAAAUUAGUCUUAAGGACACAUAAAAGCCCAAAAGGAAAAGAACAAAGAGAAGGAAAGAAAAGUGGUGUAAACAGAAGGAUUUGGUCACAGCAAAAAUUGUCUCAUUACAAAAAAGAUAGAUACCUGCAAGUACGUAUAUAAAUGGUCCAACUUUGUUUUAAUAAUUAAUUUUAAAAUUAAUCCUGAAUGAAUGACGUCUACGUAACAUUUAAAUUUAAAAUUUAACUUUUACGUAUAUACAUAUAUAGUAAAUUCAAUGCUGAUAACGUACAUAUAGUCGUCGGUAAGUAAAUAUGUAUAAGAUUUUCUCUUCAUUUUGACCCGUAAGUAAGUAGGCCGUAAGGCAGCUCCUAUAAUCUCACCAUACCACGCAAGGGGCGCAUAAACAUACACAGCUGCUGGGCACGGCAGCAACGUCGCAUCAUCCAAGUCGAGUGGGGCUCUUUAUUCUUCUUCCAAUUCCAAGUCUUUGGUUCUAUAAAUAUGCUCAUCCUCCUUUCCUUCUUUCCUUUCUCUCUCACACUCACCGCCUCACCUCUCUAGUCUUUGAUUUCUUUCUUCUUUCAAUCAAAUUCAAAGGUGGGCUUGCUUUGCUUUGCCUUUUUCCUUUGUGUUUUGUAUUGUUGGGUUUAGGUCACAAGUCACGAGACAGAAAAGCAUAUUAGCAUUUGCCCAUUAGCAAUUGGCAAUUAGCAAGCUUCCUAUCUUUUUCCAAAUGGUCUACUCAAACCACCAUUGCCUAAUAAAUAAAAAUAUAUGUGUUACAUAAUUACAAGAGGAUAAGUGUGAUUCCAUUCCCUGCCAGAAGAAGGAUAAGAGUCUAUAAUGUGAUGAAAUUUCCCGUGAGAUUAUAUGCUUGUGAGGUCAGACAAGGCUGUUAGCUUAGUGUUGAAUAACUUGUACAUGACAAAUUUUGAGGUGCCGACAUGCGCCCAACCAUAUCAAGCUAUAGGUAUCAUCUCAUUUGGUGGCACAUCCUAACGUCCAUCACUCUCUUUAUCUCUACAUAAUUUUCAUUAUUUUCUGGGUCAAAACACUACUCUACGAGUCUAUGGCCUAUGCAAAACAUCAAAAUCUACUGAUUAAUCCCAUCAACAAUCCUCCAUUUUUUUUUGCAUAAUAAUACUCUUCCUACCAUACAUUUUAUGUUGUUCAUGUAUGUGUACAGAUUGCAUUUGUUGUGUCUUAAAGCAAAGAAAAUCUUACUGCUUACCUAUUACCUUACGGCAAUAAAUACAAGACAAAAACUUUUCAUUUCGCUCCGUUUUCAUUGGGCAAAAGCAGUUUCCACUCAAGAAUAGGGUAAGAAUGAUGAUACACGCCUCUAUUCUAUAUAUUUCUACGGGAAAGGAAAAAAAAAAAACACACACACACACACACACACAGAGUGGAGCAUCUGUCUAUUCUAUGGGUCAUUAAGCAAGAGUUGGACUUUUUUGUGUACACUGUGCUGUAGGAGGAGUCAUAAAAUCAAAGGGGUCUGUGUUGGUCUACAAUCAUGGGACCCAAUCCUUCUAUCAAUUUCUCCUGUCUGAAAGGUAGGUGGUGCGGUGGCUCAAUUUAAUCGUGAUGGCAGAAGCUUUAUGAGUAAUGACCCUCAGAAUUUUGGGUCUACAAUGACACAAGAAUUGGAAUGACCCACCCAAUUUUACGUGUGUAAAAGCAUACGGGUUUGGUUUGGGGUGGGGUGGGGUGGGGCAAUAAUAAUAUCGCUGCUCAAAACCGAAGGCAGUGAUGAUGGAAUUGCAUAUUUCACACAGCUGCGGGUUAUGCUUAUCGACCGGCCAAAAAAAUGGGUAACAGAUCAGAUUUUGGUGUCCAAGAAUAAUAAUCAUAACAAUAAUGACUUGCGGAAAGAUGACAAAAAAAACCCCUGAAGGAAUCAUCAGUGUCUUAUAGCUACCACCGCGACAUAUUAUGACAACAUGUUCAUCUCACUCCUUGGAAGGGGCCACUUUUUUAUGGUUUUAAUAAGCGCUAAAAGUGUGAUUAUGUGAUGGUUUUCUAUAGAUCAUCUGCUGCAGGCGACACGUUCAUUUGCCUACCUCUCUCUUUUUUUGCUUUUUUGGUUUUUUUCCACCCAAGAUGGGGAUAUGAUAUGUGGUAACACGAUCAAGAAACAUACUCCACAAGGCAAAGGGUAUGAACUCCUGAAGAGUCUUUUGAGAAUUCAAGAGGAGGAGAAAAGGACAGAAAAGAGGAUGACGAAUGAAGGGAUGCGCCAUUUAUUGCUUGUAGGUGCAGCAUGCAUUGUGAAAUGAAAGGAAAUGUUACAGCAACAUCAAUAAUGAUGCAGUCACUAGCGGAUCAUGCAAAGGCCAAGGCCGCUCCGUAAGCCUCAUUUCCUGUUGUUUUUGCUUGUGAUUUGCAGGAGGACAAAUGAUUGUUUUGACCGUGCUUUAUGGAAAAACAAAAUAAAGAUCAAAAGAUGGCACACAGUAAGAAACAACACCAGAAAGGGGUGGACGCAAAAAAAGCCAAGCCAAGUACUUACAACUUGGUAAGAGAUAAAGAGACCCAAAACAUAAAGCAGGCAGAACAGAAAAGAAAUGGCGCCUCACAUGAUCCUUGGGUCAUGGAAUUCAAGCUCGCUCCUUUCCGCUCCACAGACAAAAUACUAAAACAGUAGCAAGUAUAUCAUGUUUUCCUGCGUCUUUUUUAUAGAUUCCAAGUCUUGAGCCAAGCCUCUCAUCAGCCAGUCACUAAGUGAAACCGAAAUGCUGGCUCACUCUUUAUCAUCAUGAGAGAGACAACUAGUGGCUGCCCUGCUGCAGGUCUCCUAAGGAAAGGUGGCAAUACUAUCUUGAUCUGCAUCAAUUUCCCUGUUCAAGUAACAACCUGAGUAAAAUCCUAAGCAAGUUAUCUGACAUCCAAGCCACGUCCUGGAUCACGAAAGAUGGCCUCAGACUGUCACAAGUUUUGACAAUAACAACAAUACAAGCAUCAUUAGCCAUGACAACUACAUCAUCUCUCAGGCUAACGUACAAAAAUUCAAGCUUUCCCUUUGAACUUGCUGAUGUUAUCUUAGCGAUUAAUUGGUGUGUGCAUCCUUUCAACUAUCCUAUUUACGGCAUCACGAGACAUCACUAGAGUGUCGUGCAACAAAAUGCUAUAGACAUUCAAUCCCUGCAAAAACCAAAAGUCAAAAAAAAAAAAAAAUCAGAACCAGACUAAGUGCUGGAGAAGAAUCACCUCGAAUAGAAUCCAAAACAGCCUGUCACUACUGAAACAGGGCGGCAGAUUAUCAAGGAAAAAUACAAUUUAUUUCUACAUAAAUUACCAUCCACAUUUUUGGUAGACAUUUGAACUCUACUGAAACCAUGAAAUGGCUAAUGGUUGUUCAUUAAUAACAUAACGGGAAAAAUAAUCUAAAUCUUCUUGAAAAGGAAUCAGUAUUUGAAAACUCAUUGAAAGGUUAUGGCAAAGAUAAUUAUAAAAGCGUGAUUGAUGAGUAAUUCCAUAGUUCAUCUGAAAUUUUAAAAAUUUGAUAAAUUGCAGUUCAUCUUUCAGAUGUGAAUGUCAGCAGGAAUUACAUCCAACAACAAACUCACGAGGGACAAAUCAAAACUAAGUUGAUACUUACAAUUGAAGGAAGAACAUUGACAUAAUGUAUAUUUUGGGUAGCAAGCUUCAGCUUUUCGUUAAUUGCAUCUCCAUCCACCAGCAGAAGUUUCUUGGUAUCCACCAUUAGAUUAUAAUAGCUGACAAUAUUUUUGUCUUAUGUGAAGGGAUCUCUAAAUCCUCAAAAACCAUAAGCUGUGGAUAAAGAACCAUACGAUGUCAAAACUAAUAUAAUUAGAUGAAUGGGUGAACAUAAAGAGCAUAAGCUGGAAACUAUUCCUCAUCCUAAAAGAAAUGAUAAAUGUUAUCAUUUCCAUGGGAGAGGGAGGUAGAAAGGCCAAAACAACACUGGAUAAAUGUAGCCACACUAGAACAGAAGUACAAGCUUUAUAAUAGAAGAUAAAUCUCUUAAAAAAUAUAAAAUCUUCAAAUGAAAGAGACUUAAAUCCUCAAGGGCUUCCAGGUUAAUAGUUAAUUAAAAGUAGAAAUGACAAUUUUCCAGACUCCCAAAAUUCGCAAUACUCUACAAAUUCAGUCAAAUACAACUAUCUACCUUAUCUAACAUAUCUCGAGGUAUCAGUGCUCAGAAAGGAAGGCUAGUGUGUGUGCUAACUUAAUCCAUGAGGAAAGCCUCAAUAAGGUUUUUAGCAGGUUAGUGCUGUUGUAUAUCCUAGUAGUUACUUCACAAUUGCAACGGAAUUGCUGUUUAACAGAUGAAAAUACUUAUAUGGCAACUUGAGGGAUAAACAUCAUCGGUAAACAAGUCCAAUAAUGCAAUCAGAACAGAAUAAAGUACCAACAAUUAAUAUGAUAAAGAAGCUCUAUUUUUCACUAUUAAUGUUGGUGUACUCCUAAUUCUAGCCGGAACUCUAUCCUAGAAAUCAAAGGUGUUACAAGAUACAAAUCAUCCAGUUAUGGCCAAAAUAUUUAUGCACUACAAUGAAAGAAAAUUAUAAAGAGGCAUAUAAAAUUAUCCAGAUAGUCUAAAGCAUGAAGCGAUAGGCUUUGCUCUGAAAGACUGGGGGUUUCUUUUUUAAAAAAAAUGGACAAAGGGUUCUUUUUUCCCCAGACAAUUAAAUCAUCAUCCAGACCAAGAAAAACUUAUGGCAGGACACCACGAGCAUAAGAAUAAAUCAAAUAAAUAAAGGGAAACUAGGACUGAAGUAACUUUUGGCUACAUAGGGUCCAGGACAAAAUUUUUGCCCAUUGUUCUAAGACAACCCAACCAAAUUCUAGAUAAGAAAAACAAGGAGGAAAUUAUAUAAGACAAAGUACGCUUUCAAAAACUCGCCUUUCCUUCUGCUGCUCUAGCUGACAAUGCAAUCUUUAGCCCCAGUCGACGGACCUUCUUAUUCAGCUUGAUAGCAUGACUUCGUGGUUUGGGACCAUGCAUAGUUGCACCACCCCUGAACUGUUAUUCAGCAAGCAAAUCCAUAGUAACCAUUCAGAGUCAUACAAAAAGCACCAUCUAUACAGAAAUAUAAGACAGCGGUACAUCACCUGAGGACCUCGCAGUGUUCCAUGUCUCGCUCGACCAGUACCCUUCUGUCGCCAUGGUUUUCUACCAGUUCCACUGACCUCGCUAAUGGUUUUGGUUGAAUGAGUUCCCUGACAAAAACUCACUGCUCUAAGAAAAUUUCACAAUAAUAAAUUAUUCUCCAGCUUAAAGCUCAUUAAGAAACUAUUAAUAUACACCGAGCACGAAAUAUCCUCCACUGCAAGAACUAAAACUUCUUCUUAUAUGCAAAUAACAAUUAAAAAUGUUGAAGAUAACAAGAUACUAGAUGCCAAAAGUUAAGAAAGUUUAAAAAACUGCAGAAGGUUAUAUUGACCUCACUCACUCAGUGGCAUGACAUUAAUAGAUUUGCUAUUCUUAACUCAAUUGUUUAAGAGGAGGAUACAAGGUACAAUAUUGGCUCGUGAAACAUUAAGACAUGUUAUCCUGUCAAUUUAUCAUACUUCCAAGUAAAGAAAGAUCAUCCUACCUGCUGUCGUUUUGCAAGCUGCCACCUUACAACACGAUGGACAAUAUCUUUCCUAAUUGGAACAUCAAAAACAUCGCCAGCCAAAACCAUCAAGCCUUUAUCUUCAUUGGAAAAGUUUGUGACCGGAAUCACCAGGUCCUGACAAAGUCCUAAGAAAUCACAAAUAAUCAACACAGUAAAGAAGUGAUGUUUCGCUAGUUGAACACAAAGUAGCAAUAUGCCAGUCUAUAAGAAAUUUUACCUUCAUCGGAUGAGACAGAGAAUAUAUAACAAAUCAAAACCAAAAGUAAACUUCAUUUGGUAGGGCCAACUCAAUCUAUAACCUUCCCAGAAACAGAAAGUAAAUCUCCUAGAUAAACUAAAACAUAUCCUCAUGUAAACUGAAAAUCCACUACAAACUCUUAUUAUUUGCAGCCAGAAGCCUUUAAAAAACUUGAAAAUUCUGGAUUUAAGAUACAAACCUAAUAAGAGAAAUUUGUAUCACUCUCUUCAAUACAUUGUGUCAUACCUACCUUGUCAUACAUCACUAUAAACUCAAUCAUAUCGUUAUAAACCAAAUGCAACGAAAUUCUUAGAGUCAAGCCUAAGGUGUGCAAUCAUCUAAUGCAAUUCAAACUGCAUUAAUUGGACACUGUUUCAAUUCAUUCCUCACAGAAAAUUUGACUUAUCCAUCGAUUCAUGAGCUAGAUUUUAAAAAAAAAAGUGUAGAAAAAGAAAGUUUAAUACAGUAAAAUUUUCCAAAAAAAUGGAGCAUAAUGAAGCAUGCUAAUCUUUCCAGAACGUAUCUAAAGAAAAAGCAAAAAAUAAAAAGCAAGUAUUAGAAGUCAUACCAACUGUGCGCUCAGGGGGGAAAACCCGUUUCCUGGACAACAAAUCUGAGGGAAAUGCAUCUUCACAUGAUCCAGGAGUUAAGAUAGAAGUUGAAAACCCUCGACAAGCAGCGAUAAGUAACUCAUUCUGCAGUCAAAAACCAGAAACAAGAAGAAAGCUAAUGAAUAUGAUGCGACCAACAAAAUGUGCUACCAUCUUCUUACAAAAGAUUCAUUUUUGCGGAAAACAAAUGAUAAAAAACAAGGGCACAACCACGGAAGACAAAUUUCAAAUCCUAACUAAUUUCUUGCAAGAUCAGUAUAAGCAAAUUGUGAUAACUAAUCCAGUUACCUUUUGAAGAGCAGAUAAUUCAACAGAAAACACACUGUGCCUAACAGCCCGCUGACAGCUCAAGCCUGCAAUAAAAAUUUCCCCCAGAAUAAUAAUAAAGAGUCAGAUUUUAGUCAAGUUAUUCAGGAGAACAAAAAGAGCAUGAAGAUAACAUACCACUAGAAAAACCAAGUGCCGAAGAAAAUGCACCAUUCCAAGAACGAAAAGCCCUUCUUGAAAUCCAAAGUGCCAUGCUCCAAAAUGAUAAACUCUCGAAUCUAAGAACUCUUUAUCCUUUUAAUUUGAAGGGUUGUUUCUGGUCCAGCUAAACGGAAACCAUCCUGGGAAAAUUUAUUGAUUCACCUGAAAGUUCAUAUUUUUAUCAAUGGAUGAUUACCAGAGUAACAGAUAACAGAAGAAAAAUUAGAACACAGAGCCCGAGAUAUCAUAAAAUUUCCCCCCAUUUGCAUUGCUAGGCAGCUGAGGGAGGGGGUUGUUGGCGGAAGCAUACCAGCAAAGUGACUGAGAAAGGCGAAUUGAUGAAGGGUUCCGAUGGCACAGCCCCGAGACUCAAGUAGAGUAAGAAGAAGAAGAAGAGAAGCAGCUACUGAAGAAGAAACCCUUUCAUAAACCCUUUGCCAUGGUAACUAUUUCUGUGUUUUGGGGAGAAUUGUUGUCCGGGUCGGAGUUAAAUGAAUUUGGUUUGCACGUCCUUCGGAAAGAAAUGCGGUCUAUCAGUCUAUGGUCUAAGCUAAAAAGUUUUGUGGGCUUUUCUCUCCCACAGUUAUAAGGAAUUUCAGCCUAUUUGUUUCUUAGCCUGCAUUUUAAUGUCUUGACUUUAUCAGCAUACUUGUAUCAUUGCCCACAUUCAUUUUCUGAUUUUGAACUUUACUAGUCUUUCGUCCAAAAAAAAAAAAUUUACUAGUCAAUUGCCAAUGAUUUUAAAACCCACCGGUAUAAGUUUUACACAAUUUCAUCGGCUGGUCAUGUCCGGAUCCAUUUUAAAAAAGAAAAGUAAAAAAAAAAAAAAAAAAACAGAGUAAAAUAGCUUCACGAAACUCAGGUGAAAAGUUGAAGAGAUAUUCGUCGAUAUUAAUUAUUUUGGGUUGCUUGUCAAAAAUUAAUAACACUCUGUAGAUGGGAAAAUAGUGGAGCAUUUUGAUGACGACUCGUUGGUGUACAGGUAAAACGACCCAAUCAAACUCCUUCCUUUUUUGCUGGAAACAUGAUAUGAAAAUACGAAUGAACAUUAAAAUCGACUAUUUAUGCGGGGUCCUAAAUGCUGCUCCAUCUUCUCAAGCGGCAGCAGUUAACCGCUACCAUCCCAACAAGCACAUAUAUACUAAUAAGUUGAUGAUAAAAAUCCUAGUAAAAGAGACCUUCAUAUCCAGAAAAAACUAGACUUAUUUUAAUUGGAUCUAGUGAUCUGCUAUUAUACAUCAGCACAGCGCUUCAAUUCAUACUUCUUCACAUUCUUGACACUGAGAAUGACCGAUGCAGUGACCAGCUCACACACCUCAUUCAAUUGACUCCGUUGACCUUCCCAUCUUUGCACAGCUUUCUCACCAUCUUUAGCCACCUCCACCCGGGCCAGUGCCUGCUGUAAAUUGAUAUUUGAGGAUCUGCAGGUUCAAUACUAAAAACCAUUACCAGCCUUUCAUCAAGGAUGAGAUGUAGGAAAAGCAAGACAAGCAUCCACAACCACCUUAUGAAACAUGGUUUCCUGGCCUUCACAUGAUCAUUAAUCCACAAUUGAGGUAAAUCUCAUUACUGGCAGUACUCCCCUCCACCUUUUCGCAUUUUCUUCAUUCCAUAAUCCAUAUUGAACAACUCAGUUUCUAACUCAUUGUGAUAUCAGUUCUAUCAAUAUGUGUAAUUCAUAUCUCCUAGAGAAAAUUAGUUCAUAACAUUACUUCCUGAGGAAGUAAUCUGAGCAUCAAGACUCCAACUGAGGAAAAUCUGCAGGACAUCGGAGAUGUCUGCCUCUUGUAUCUUUUCAAACACAAUAAUGUUACCACUCCUAAAGUUAAUCAGUCGACACCCGGAAGCGAGCAUAGAAGGUCAUCGACCUCUAUAUAAUCUCCUUCUAGAAUGGUUUUCAAGUCCUGCACAGCCAAAUCAUACAAAUCAUCAGGAAGGAAGUAAUGAUUGAUCCAUGGGCCGUAUAAUUCUACAUGUUCAAAUUCAACAGAUCAUAAAGAAAAAGCAAUCUCCAUCUUUUUUAAUAAGAAAGCAAAAUCUAUCUGGAUAAACUUAAGGGCGUCAGUAAGUAAACUCAGAAAGAGUACUUAAGGAACCACAUUCAAUUUCCAACCCAUAAGACGAAUGAGGAGAUAGAAGUUUGAAGAAGGGAAAAGAAGAUCAUGUUGGGAAAACAGGAACAUUUAUUACUCUAUACAUAUAACAUCUUCAUUUCUGCUUGUUCAGGAAAGCUCACUGGAAAUCUCAAACUUACUUAUCAGGUCAAUCAAUUCAAGACCAUCACUCAGAAGUUUUCAUCAUCCCAUUUACCAAAGAAAAAGUGUUCAUUCUAAUAUGGCAAGUAAAUCUCAACUAAGAGGACUGUCUACCAACUUAUCCACAGAAUUUACAGUAAAAAAGAAAAAAGGCUUAUCACCAACCUCUCUGUUUCUCCUCAAGAAAUCACACAUAUAACAGUCACUAAAGUCCUAAUGCCAGUGAACCUCCAACAAAGUGAAUAGAAUAAGAGCAAUCCAAAAGGAACAAAGAAUGCUAUUGAGCUUUGACAUUCCACAAUCAGACAAAGCAACUGUUUUGAAAAUAUACUGCAGAAGUCUAAGCAGCAGGAUCCUUCUAACUAUAACUGAUAGGAAAAAUUUCGCUGAAUUGAAAAGAAGAAGAUUUCAGGUUUAAUACCUGCUCAGAAACAGGCUUGAGGCUAAUGGUCUCGUCUAACUCAUUACCCUGUCCUGGAGGGAGCUUCAAAACCUCAUUAUCAUCAUUUUGCGUACUCUUGUCUUGCAUUUUAGAUUCUUCAAUAACUGAUGUAACACUUCCAUCAUAUUGAACACCUAUAUGACGCACAGUUGCAACACUUUCCUCACCGCAGGAACUUAUAUUGUGCUCUGAUAAGUUAUGUCCCAGAUCAGAUUUGUUAAACACUCGGCAAAGGACAAAAGAUCCCUGCAUAUACUUUGAAUCAUGAGAUUCUGAAUAAAUUUUGUUGCAGCUUUAACCAAAUGAAUUAGAGCAGAAACUUCUAACAUAAUCCAAUAACCAAAUUUCCUAGAUCUUUUAAUAUUCAAUCUGAUCAUAUGGGAAAGCAACCAUCAUCAAAAUAUACUUGACAUCUACACAGUACACACAGAUGGAAAUAAAUGGAAAUCACAACCCUAGGAAGAAUACACAACAUCCGAGUCAUAUAUGAAAGAUGGUGCACACAUUAGUCUCAGAGUGUAGGACUGUCGAAUAGAAGCUGACAUCAAGAUCCUUGAAACAAGAAACCAUCUAUUUUCUCCUCUUCUCGCACACAAACAAAUCAUGAUCAAAAGCUUGUCCAGCAGCAGGGCAAUGGGUAUCACACAGUGAAUCUCAAGUCUAAACCGAGGCCUCCCGUUCAGGAUCUUCACAAAUCAAAACUAAUUUCAAUAUGUUAUUAGGAAAUAGUCACGAUGCAUUUUUUCUUCUUGCCUUUAACAUUAAAAUCAAUUAAGAAAAUCACCUUUACAUUUUGAAACAAAAUAUACUUUCUUAUAAAAAAUGAUUUCAUCACACCAAUGCAAAAGGCACCAAAAGCUAUUUAUAAUGCGUAAUUGAUAAUAGCAAGAUAACAAACACAAACUUAAACCUAAUUCCAAAUAAGAAAUAACUAAUCUAGCUCAACAGGUAAAUCACAAACUUUAUGUCUCUAUUUGCGCCUGUAUGUGCAAAUUCUAGUACCAAGUACAAUAAAGUAGAAGAGAAUUUUAACAGCUUUAUUAGGGAAAAAAUGAAUUAAAUCCACAUUGACCCCACUAAAAUCAUUUCCCGAAACCAGCAUAAGCAAGACUGCCAACUGACAAUCAUUCAUUUAACAUGGCCGAAUCCAAUUUCUACUUCCGAAUCCAAUUUCUACUUCAUACCCUUGAAUUUAGGAAGCAUAAAUUACCACAAAAUUUUCUCCAUAAAUAUAUUAAAAAAAAAAAAGAACCGCAGAACCCAAUUCGCAAUGAAAAUGAAAGUAUUUGGGGGAGAAAAAAUUCCCAUUAGAUAUUAACGUCAAGUUAACUAAUUAUGAAAAAAGUUAAUCUAGUCAAACCCAAUCAGCUUAGACCAACAACAAUGUAUAACUUCUACCAAAAUAUCAGGUACAAAACUUCAAAUUUUUAUCAGACCCAUAACUUAAUAAAUUAUGAUCAAAGCAUAAAAGAAGAUUAAUACCAUAUGAUGAUCAAUGAGAGCAUAUUCAUACAGGACCCAACGAGUCCUAACAGCAUUCUCGUGUGAAUCCCCCGAAUAAAAAUCAAAACUUUUACGCGUCCCCACCACAACUUUCCCUGCACCCGCAUCAAUUACAUCCCUAACCCUCCCCCUCUUUUUCCAAUACCCGCCACCGGCGACUCUCCUCCUCCCUCUCUCCUCAAAACAACCCUCCUAACGUAACAAUACCAGUGGCGCCUCCGCCCUCCGCUGCCGAACCGGAAGCAACCCGAUUCAGGUAAGUUGAACGGGUUGAAAUUGUACAAGUCUAACUCUUUAAUUACGUCUUUGCCAUAACAAUUGGUGCCGUUGUUUUUAGAAGUAAGGUAGUAGCAGACGAGCUGUUGCUCGGAAGGGUAGAAUCGAGAACCUGGUGGAAGACAAAACGACGUCGGAUCAUCCGGGGGCUUUGGAUCCUCUCCCCUCAUUUGUGGAAAUUUUCCGCGAGAGCAAAGGCAUGGACAGGGGACAGAAGGUAGGGUUUUAUAGCAGUCAGGGACUCAAGAAGCGUGGCCCUGAAGUUUGUUUGGGGUUUUGUCUUGUGUAGUGCUAGCGCAAAAGAGUGUUCGUGCUCCUCAGUAGUACGAGCCGCCGGUCUGUCCACGAUUAUGCUGAAUGGUUGAUUGCUUUGCUGCUUAAUCUUGUGUGACCCGUUUGGAGGGUUGCGAGGACUUUAUAAAGAAUACAAGUGCUUUUAAGGAAACUGUUUAUAACCUGCUAAAUUUACCUACUUAAGUUAAGAAAAUCAGUUACUAAAUACCCUAAAAAUACAUUGAAUAAAUCUUAUAAAUAUCCUAAAAAUACUUUAAAUAAAUCUUAUAUACACUGACGAUGUAUACACUAUCGCGGUUGGAUAUACGACACAUAUGCAAAAUUUGAUUUUCAAAUUCAAAUUCAGAUUAAUGUGUCGUACAUCUAAUGAUGAAAGUGCAUACACUACUGCCAGUGUAUCAAAAAUUAAUCAAAUACUUUUAGUGCUUAAACUUUUUUAUUGUAAACGCAUUGCAACGCUAAACGGGCCAUUAGUGCAGUUUAACUUUAGUAAUUUUCGAGGUAGAUCAAAGCUAUGACAAAUAUAAUUUAUACAUUUAACUUGGGAUUUAUAAUUGUUUAGUAAAGAUUUUUUCUGUUGCAGAUCGAAUGACUCAAAUCAAUCAAUUUAGGUAUCGUGUAAUUGUUGUCUAAUAUGUAUUUUAUUAAAGACUUUUGGAUUGAUAGUAAUGUAGUAGAUGUGCUCGUUCAAUUGAACUUGCUCAGUAUUGGAAAUUGGAAUUGAAAAUUGAUGCAAAAGUGUGAAUAAAUUAAUACGAUUAAACAAAAAUCUACCUAUAUUGGAAUUGAAAAAUGAUUCAAAAGUAUUAUGAUUGAUAUAAUAAGUUAAAUUCUUCUUGGUCAAGUUUUUCCUUUUCCGGGGAUACUCCAUAUCCACAGUCUAUACUCUAUACUAUAUAGUGCAUGUCUCACCUUUUGAAAAGUCAACUCCAUUGACAAACGAGGAAUGCCCUCUGAAUAUUGCGCUUACUGAAGAGGGAUGUCUGUCUACUUUUUGUUCCGAUUCUUAAGUACAUUUGAAUGAAUUUUAAGUACGCCUAGGUUGCGAUUGGAAUGCGGGAUUUAAUGAAAGAUUGAAAUCUUCUCAAAUUUUUAUAAUUAUUUAAAUUAUUUAAGAAGUAUUUAAAUUUAUAAAUUACAAAUUAUUAUAGUGUUUAAAAUAUAUUUUGAUAAUUAGUGAAUUAUAAAUUCAAAUGUAUCUAAAUCAAUUCAAAUAAUUAGAACAACUUGAGUGGAUUUCAAAUUCUUCAUCAAAUUUCUCAAUCUAAACAAAAAAAAAAAAAAAUGCAUUUUGCCUCUUUUAUGGUAAAAGUAUGCACCCCGAGUGUGUAUAUCAUACAUGCAAUUCGCGAAACAUAUAAUCGACCCUUUUUCUGGUUGAACUCCCCUGGCGUUUCUCUCCACUGUAGUUCUUGAAACCAAACAUUCACUAAAGGAUCAUUUGAUUUUCACUUUCUUUCCCAUUAAAAGUAAAAAUGAUUACCAUUUCAUUUAAUUUUCAAGCAUGAGAGAGGGAAGGGUGUCCAUCAUGAUGCACUGAUUUCGUGAUUCUGAACAAGUUGAAAUUGCAAGAACAUAUUGAGUUUGUUUGGAUAGAGAGAAUUUGGAUGAUUUAUUUGAGAUAUUUACUGUAGCACUUUUUGUGAUGUGAUGUAUGUGAGAUAAAAAGGUGAUUGGGAAGAUAAAAAGGUGAUUGGGAUUUGUGAGGAUAAAUUUUGCAAACCAAAUUCUCUCUAUCCAAACAAACUCAUUAUUAUUAUUGUGAUUUACAGAUUUCUGACAUAAUACAGUUCGUUUUCGUCUAAAUUAAAGCACAAGAACUCCAGAAAUAACGAGUCCACCUAGUUGAGGGAACAUCGGUUUACUCAUUGACUGGAAUGCUGCUCAACGUACAAAGACGCGGGUGAUGGCCGUGAGGUAUUUCAUAACCAAAGAAUGAUUUUACAAUUUCGGACACAUCCGUGUGUGAAUUGUGAAACUGAAACUGUGGUAUCUAUCCAGUGUCAAAGUGCAUGGAUGCGUGAACAAAUCUAGCCCCACGACUGUUAUCGCCGGUGCAAUCAAUAUAAAGGGGCACAUGAGGGGCCGACUUUCUUGUUUCACUGUUGCAAGAUGACUGGUAGAAAGGGAGGAGGUUGAGCAUCUUCUGAUUUGGUUUUUACUCGUACUUGAUUCUGGAGACUUGGCGAAAGGGAGGCCUUUCUGCAUCUGUGUGAAGACGCCAUGCCAUGAUCUGAAUUAGCUCAGAUGCAAUGGUUCAGGGGUGGUUUUGAAGGGAAUCCGCAUCUUUGUCAGUGUGAUCACCAGUUGAUGCAACUUCCAGGCUGCCCAUCCCAAUCCAUUUCUCAGCAGCAGCUCCCUCAAAAUUCCUUCUGUUGACAAACUGCACUAAAUAAUGCCUACUUGGCGCAAGUCCUACUCCACCUAUACUUGGCGCCAGUCCACAAAGUUGAAAAACCCCAGUCCCUGGGGGAUUUGGUCAGUCAAAUCUUGUAAAUCCCUUUAAUUCUUUUAUCUAUACACUGACUAGUAUAUCCUUCUGGGGAAACGGCAGCAAUCAGGUAAAAGCGUUCACAUGGGAGUUAAUUUUCGGAUGCUUUGAACCAAUACAGUAGUAUAUAGAGUGCUGGUGAGCAUUAUAUUAUUAUUGUUUGCCUGGCCAGGGAGAAUCAGUUGGGUUGUCAAAAAAAAAAAAAUAAAGGGAUGAAUUCGCAAAGCCGCCGAAAAUGCUAAAGAAAACCAGCCCUACUAUCGGCAAUUGCAUGGAACUAAUAAAUAAAAAUUCGAAUGGACCCCCAAGUCUCAGAGAGUCGGACUCCUCUACUAUCAGUACUGGUUCUAUAAUUUUUAUUUUAGGAGCACUCAGACACCGCGAAAACACACGCUGGCUCAUAGGUUUCUAUAAGUCGGCCCCCUCUGUACUACAUCUAACAAAUCUUGUUGGAAGUCAAAAACAUAUAUACAGGCUUAGUCGAUACCCCAGGUCAGAUUUGCCUUCCUCUCAUGUACCGGGUGGUUCCUGCAGAGACCUUAGCGCUCGAGCAGUUUUCUUCUAGUAUUAUAAUCCUGGAAAUCAUCUCAAAAACAGUUUUAAAAACAAAUUACCAGCCAUUAACUCUCUAAACAAUAUCCAAAAAUAAGAUGAGAAUAAAACUACUCCGGCAGGUUCAAAAUUCCAAUCUAUCAUUCGAAAACUCAGUUCUAGAAUCUAAUUCCUUCCCUACGAAAGAUAUUGAAAUCUUGAUUCUAUCAAAAACUCAUCUUCCAUUCUCAUCACUUCACCCGCGCUCAGGAAACGAUGCUGUCACUCAGGGAAAGUGAGGCUAGCUGAUCAGCUGGGCCGCUUGCCUGCUGAACAUUCUGCAGGACCUCCAUUGCCUCAGCAACUUUUGCCUUUAAAGCAUCUGGUGAUUCCAGUAGAUGCAAGACCUCUGUCUGGUCCAUCUCCAGAAGCAUGCCUGUAACUUGGCUGCAUAUUCAGGCUCCAGCUGAUCAACAAUGGAUACAGAUUUUCACCCAACAUCUCCGCAUAGAAACAUGUUAACAACCAUCUAGACAAAACCUAUUUACUGAAGCUUCAUAUAAAAUGUUAUAUCCUACCGUGCGUUGCUGUUCUGGGGAUGCAUUUGCAAGUGCAGAUGCCAGAGCGGUAGCUGGCAUUGGCUGACCAAUGGCACCUUCUCGGGGAAGCGUCCCACCCAUGUCAUAUGGAGAGAGAACGCCUCCUGCUACACCAGGCAUUCGCACAUCAGGAACACUGCGGCCAGGUGGAUACCUAAACAUCCGUCCCCUUGGUAGCAUCUGACAAACAAAUAUUUGACCUUAGUUCUGUUACACGAAAAAAUACAUACAUAACAUAUACAGUAAGAGACCAACCUGCUGCUGCAUCAAUGGCACUGGCUGCUGGGCUUGUUGCAUUGGCCCUGCUCCACGCCUUCCACCAGGCCGCUGGCCUUGCUGGACCAGUGGCACAAAGAAAUUUGGCAAAGGAGCUCCACCAGGUCGCAUUCCAGGUACAAGCUGCUGCUGAUAUCCAAAUCCAGCCUAAAAAUGCUUAUCCCAUUUAAGAGUAAUGCCACAAGAAGAGAAGAAAAAAAAAAGAACAAAAGGAAGGGGGGGGGAGGCGGGGAGGGGAAGAAAUGUAAUGGCAAAUACAGCAGUCAAAGGACAAACUAUAACCUGUGGAGGGAUUAUAGUAGGAGGAGCUUGCCCAUAAUAUAGAUGUUGUCCAAUAGCAGGACCACCAGGAGGAUAGAGAGGCAUUCUAGGAGCAAUAGUUGGCCCUAUUGCAACAGGCCUCAUUUGCGCAAACUGAGCCUGCAUUAACAUCAAAAUGAUGAAGUCUGUCAAGAAUUACAGUACCACAUUCAGUCUAAGCCACACAAAACACGCUUCUGCAAGGCAUUGUCAUAACGAUUCAGCUAUGACAAAUUGCAGCACAUAAUUACUACUAUUUCUGCUUUAGGUCCCAUGGAACCCUUAAAUUUCAGAAACGAAAAUUUGAGACCAAAACUGAACAACAAAUACAGCAAAACAGGUAAGCUCAAAAUCCAGUAUACAUGUAAGCUGAGAAUGCUAAAAAUCUAAAUGGAUAUGACAACUAAAUUAUUGAACUUUUUAAGCACUAUUAAGAAAAUUCAACCAUCAACCAUCCACUCAUAUUCUAAUAGACAUUGUGCACUUUUUUCUUAUGACUGACAUAACCAAUGAAAAUAGAGAUUUGACACCCAGAAUAUGCAAAAGGAUGCAAAUAACAGCAUUUGGCAAGGAGAGUCUCAUGCAGGAAAAAUCAAUAUGCCAUAUGAAAGCAUGUUAAAUUAAGUGCCAUCAGGCGAAGAAUUCUUAUAUGUCAUCCACAAAAGCAACCAGAAAACAUAAAUAAAAGCAGCAAAGGAGAAAUCUCCUGAAAGCACGAGACCUGUAAUCUUGCUCUUCGCUCUUCUUUCCUCUGCGCCAGUGCAACAUAAAGUGGCUUGCUGAUCACCAUCUUUCCAUUCAUCUCAGAAAGCUAUUAACAAGAAGGAAACAACCUAGUUAGCUUCUCGCCAUUCCCCAUAUAAUAGAAACAUAAUCUAAUUUAUCAUCGUACAGCUCUAGAAGCUUCUUCAGGAGUUGUGAAAGCUACAAAACCUGAUCCUCUGCUAAUACCACUAGGAUCCGCAUAACCUAAAACAAAUCAAGAAUGUAGUUAGGAGGACAUGAACAAACCAAGGUGAACAUUUGAAGGACACUCCAACAUGGAGAGAUGGAAAGGAAGAAUAGGACAAGAGGAUCAAUUAAAAAAAAAACUACAGAGAUUUGAAUAUGCACCUUGCAUGAGGUUAUGGUGCCAAAAUCCGAAAACAGUUCCUUAAGUUUAUCAUCAUCAAUGCUGUCAUCCAGGUUCUUUACAUAUAAAUUCAAACCUUGAUAUUUGUCUACCACUUCCUUUGCCGUUUGCUCAAAUUGACUCUUGAGCUCUUGCUCUCUUUCAGACUUCUUUUGGGCUUUUCCAACAUACCACUCCUUGUCAUCAUAUUUUUUUCCAUUAAGAGCAUCAACAGCUUUGGCAGCAUCAUCUGCAUUCUCAAAGUUGACAAACCCAAAACACUUGGAUUUUCCAUCUGCAUCCCUCAUCACCACUGCACUAGUGAUUGCUCCAUGCUCCCCAAAAAUUUUCUUUAGAUCAUCAUCUGUGGUAGACUCUGAUAGAUUUUUCACAUAGACAUUGUUAAAUUUGGUCCUACUGAAGGCGGACUCUCUCUCCUGCUUACGAAGGAACUGACCAACAUACACUUGCUUAUCGUUAAUAAGCAUUCCAUUCAACUUAUCAAUGGCAGUCUGAGCAGAUUCUGCAUGGUCAAAUUGAACAAAACCAUAACCCUUAGAUUGGCCAUUGCCGUCAGUAGCUAUCUUGCAUGAAAGAAUGUUGCCAAAGGUUGAGAAUGUAUCAUGCAAAGCUUUGUUGUCAAUUGCCUUGUCCAGAUUCUGCACAGACAAGAACAAUUCAAUACUCCACACAAAGCAUGCAUAAGACAAUGGCAUAGUACAGUAACAUUUAACCCUGGUGGUGCUUUAAGAAUAUAAAGCAUAAAAUCUCAAGAGAGAAAGAACUGUACAACACUGUUUUAUUAAUUCUUCAAGAUCACAGAAUUAGGCUAGAAAAUUUACAAUGCACAGCAUAGUUCAAUCAGAUUUGAUGCUCAUGGGCCAAAGGAGGCUACUGAAGUGUACUAGAACAAAGCAAAUAAUCUAAAAACUGAAAUUUGUUCAUUGCUUUAUCAACAAUAAAAAAUUUUUAAUCCAUGUCAUGCCAAGUGAGACUAUACCCAGAAUAAACAAAGGGACCCGCAUGGUGCAUUAGAUAGGGGCAAGUAAUAACCCUAAUAACUGAAAAGUUAUUUAGCAUCGUUAUUCAUUUAAUACUAAUUGCACAGCAACCCUAGCAACAUGCCUUGGCAGUGCUAUACUCAAGCCUGAUCAAUGAAUAAUGAUGGACAGUUGACAAUUGAUAAUACCUUGAUAAAGAUAUUUGCAGUCCCACUCUUACGGAUGCUAGGGUCUCGAUGAGAGUACAUGAUCCUGAUCGACUUGCCAUUGAUAGGAGUGAAGUUUAACACAUCCAUUGCCCUUGUAGCUGAAACAAAGAAAAACGGUAUUGGUAGUAAAUUUAAUGGAAAUGAACUUCAGGUAGAAAACUUAAAUAAACAGACAAAGAGAUGCAAUCAUAUCGCCAAGAAAUCAGUAAAAAGAAUAUCAAGUAAAUUUACACAGACUAGUGUACAUUACUUCUCUCUAACAUUUGGAUGGUAAUAGACAAGCAGCAGCCUACGUGUGGAGCCGCAAAAGGAAGGUGAUAUAAAAUCAACCUAUAAAAGCAAAGGAAGGGUAGCAAUAUUUAUUUUUCAUCUAUCCAUAAACUACAAACAAAGCUAAUAGAUAGACUUAUCGCCAGAAUUGGAGCCACACCCGAAUCAAAGUGUCAAACUGAAAAUAAAUUAACAGCAAUAGCUGACCAGCUUACAGCUGACUUGCGUUGUUCAAAAACCUAAAAAUUCUAAACUUUAGGCACAACACGCAAUCUUGUCAAGCAUCCAGAAGUAUGCCUACCCAUCAAUUAUCACACACCAAAGCAUAAGACGUUAAAGAAUACCCUCAUGCAAAACAUACAUUCCAACAAAAUCCACAAUGCAAGUCCCUAUAUCGUAGAAAAUCAUUCAUAUACAUAAAUGCCAGGGGAACUUAUACAGGAAAAAGAGAACAGAAAAGAAGAAACAAGCUUUACCAUCCUGAGGAUUGCUAUAGUUGACGUAGCCAUAGCAGAGUGAGCGGCGAGUGCUGAGGUCCCUACAGACCCUUACCGAAACCACUUGUCCCACCUGGUUGAACAGAUCGUACAAUUGGGAGUCCGUCACGUUGACGUCCAGGUCACCCACGUAAAGCGAGGUUGACAAAAACUGAUUCCCUCCACCAAUGGGAGCCGCUGCUGCCGCCACAGCAGCACCACCAGCCGGAGCCGCCACUCCAUUCAGCCCAGCUGUCACUCCCGCAUUCUGCACCUGAAUCUGCGCCAUUUUUUCCUUUUCUCAAAAAUAAAACUUAUUUAAUUUCCCCCUCCUAAAUUACUAUGACUGUAAUUUUUGGGGAAAUUAAAGAAAAGGCGGAGGGCGUGAUGAAAUUGGGACAAAAAUAUAAAAUCGUCGGAGGAUCCGAACGAACAAUGAAGACGAUGGAUAGAUAGAGAUGAUUUUUACUAUAUAUCAAUAGAUUUUGUAUUAAAAAGAAAAGAAAAAAAAAAGAAGGAGAUGAAGAAGAAGAAGAAAAAGGGCAAAAAAUUUUGGUUUUUUUUUUGGAUUUUACGGCAGGGGAGGGCAGGGGGAACUGCACCGCAACAGGCGAGAAGACAACAGUGAGGUUUAUAAUGAAGCACCCAAACGGUGGUGACGUAUGAGAAACCCUAACGGGGUUAGGUCUCCACCGUUGGAUUCUAAUAGGGGUCCCACUUGGCGGUUACAUUUUAGACUGAACGGUGAGAUAGAUUCACGAUUCGGUUUCAGUUUGCUUGUGGACGCCGUUAGAUGUUUUUGAUCAACAUUUCAGGUUCAGUUUGAUUGUGACACGUGGGGAAAUGUGCAUGGGAGUUUUAGUAGCGUGGUUGAAUCUAGCCGUGGGCUAAUGUCAUCUGUCGGCUGUAUUCCUCUCACUUUUGUACAAUCUACGAAAGAAAACUACGUAGUAUUUUCAUGUCUAUCAUUUCCUUCCUCAAGAAAAACAUUUCUAUCUUUUGGUUUCGAUAUAUAGUAUUAAAAAUCAAUCGUUUUUGCUGGGGGAAAUGACAGAACAUGAAAAUGUCUAUAUGUGAGAAGUGAAAGCCCAAAUAAACACGAAUGUUUGGAUAGUAGAUUAUUUAGGAUAAAUUUUUGAAAAAAAAUACUAUGUCAAUUUUUUGAUGUAAUGUAUGUAAGAUAAAAUGGUGAUAAAAAAAUAUGUUUAUGAUACAACUAAAUAAAUUUGUGUAAAUAAUUCACUAUUCAAUUUCCCACUCUUUUGAUCAUUGAUGAAUAUUUUUGUUACAACCACUCCAUGACAAAUUCUUCUGUCAAUACGGGGACUAAACCACCAUCGGACUAGACGGCUGUACGCACCGUGCACCCGUCUGGAUUUUUUAGGAGAGCCAUUUUUUAAUGUGGCGAAUUUGCCUCCCACCCCACUAAGCUUUAAUGCAUUGAUGGUCGCACUAGCCCAAGACCGGUGAUUUUUUAAAUUUCUACCUUGAUCGAAUUUUUUUUUUUGAAAUCAAAAGAAUUGAAACUUUUGAAAAGGAUAAGUCAUACAAACUUUAUUUGAUUAAUAUGUAACUUAAGAACGAGUACAAACUAAGACAUAAUAGCUGUCAAGCUAUUGAGAUGAAAAAAAAGGAGAAAAGAGAUCACAAUUCCCACUUGUGACAAAAUAUUGUCGAGGUGAUGAGUAGGUACCCUUGUGAUUGAGACGAUGAUUUCUUUGUUUUCUUUUUUUCUCCCUCUUUUUUUUUUUUUUUUAUUUAUAACCAGGUCUGAACUUUGAUAUACAGGUAUAGUGGUAUGAUGGAUGGACGAAGAAAAGCCCUAAUAUUCCGAAGUCGCUUAGUAUGAUAAAUUAACAAUUGGUCUCUGCGUUAGUUUGGCCAGAGAUCAUUAAUUAACUGACGAUUAAUUUUGAUGGUUUGGAAUUGUGUGUGUUAAGAAGUAUUGAGACAGGGAAAUCCCGUAGACAAUCAACUAAUCAUGCAUGAUUUAAACGACCUUCAUGAAUACAAACUCAUUGCAGCUUGACAUAUACGUCUCUGAGCUCAUUUCCAUGGACUUAAGUGCAAUUUCAAUUUUGACCUUUUAUUUUUCCUUUUAGCGUAUGAUUUAAAGUAAAUCAGGUUUUCAGAUACGUUUUUUGGACAGGGACAGGGACAUGGAGCAGGCGGUGUAAGUUAUCAAAAGAAAGGUAGUAAAAGCAAGAUCUAUUAGCAACAGGUGUGGGACGCCGUGCAUGGAUCCUGAAGUAUAAGGCUUUAUUUAGAUUGCUUUUUUCUGGACUUUUUGUAGAAAAAUUAUUAUAACGAUUUGAUAUAUGUAAGAUAAAAAAGUGAUUGAAAAAUAUGUUCACAAAAAAUGUAAUAAUUUUUUUUUGAAAAUUGCAAUCCAAACAUAGCGGUUUUCCACCAAAAAGCAUGAAGAAUUCUCUAGGCAUGGUGUGUUUUGUAGAUCAAUGAAGUGUUAAUCUACCAGUAAUCAUUUGAAGAAGAACCGUAAAAUGAAUCAUUUUCUAGAGUUUUUGUAUAAAAAUCGUAUUAUAGUGAUUUAAUAUAUGUGAAGUAAAAAGUUGAUUGAUAAAUGUAUUCAUGAAAAAACGUAAAAAUUUUUGUGUGGAAAAUAGCUUUUCCGAACAACAAGGACAUUGUAUAGCCUCUAACGAACUGAGCACAGGAAGAAAACCAUAAAGAAACUAUUCUUAAUUUUCUUCAGGUAUACUAACACUUACCAAUGGAGAUGUACAAUUAUUAGGGAUAAUAUCAGAAACCUCCCUUGAGGUUUCUCCUAAUAUCACUUGAUACCCCUAAGAUUUUUGAAAUAUCGUUUACCUCUCCUAAUAAUUGCAAAAAGAUUGUAUUAACCUCCAUUUGACACAUAAUUCAUAUAUCAAAUAAACGGAACUCAAAAAUUUUUUUUUAAAAAAGUCACUUUUUAUCUUUCUCUUUUCUCCAUCAUUCUUUUCUACUCAUUUUUUGGAUGACUAUACAAUAUUUUAUUUAUAAAUUAUAAUAAAUUAAAUUUUUUAUCUUAUAUUUUUUGUAAUUGUAAUAAAGUGGAGUAUGAUUUAUUUGCUUAUUUUGAGUUGAUUUUUAUAAUGAUUGGUAUAAUUAAUGGUUUAAGCAAAGGUUCAGAAGAUGUUGAAAAAAAAAAAUAAAAGUUCAUAAGAAAUCGGUUUUGAGCAUAUAGAGUUAAAUUGGUGCAAGUGUAUUUCUCUUCAAAUAUCUUUUGUUAAAUCGGUAAGUGAUGUUUUUAAAACCUUGGGGGGUUGCCAAGUGAUAAUAAGGAAAAUCUCAAGGGAGGUUUCUGAUAUUAUCCCAAAUUAUUAAACUAUGUGGCCGUUUAAACUUUACUCAAUCAAAACGAAUUUGAUUUGAUUAUGUUUAAAGCCUAAUAUAUGCAUUUAGAAAGAAAAGUUGCACCAAAGCUUUACAUGCAACGUUAUUAAAGCAGAUGUCAUCAUCAUCUUCAGAUGACAAUCGGACUAGCAGCUGGCGCCGAUCCGUCCAAUAAAUGAUUAGUUAUACUUUAGGUCAAAUUUGAAAGGUAAUGUAAUUUCAUAGGCCAAUCAUUAAGGAUUAGAGCUAAGAAUAUGAAUGAUUACAUGCACUAAACCUUGUGUGUCUCAGGUGGAAUUAGUCAAUAAUCAUACGCGGCGUUGCAGAACCACACCCGGGCCGAAUUAAUCCCAUCCCUCAUUAACCAAUCGACCAGAAAUUAUGCUAAACUGACUAAGAAUCAUCAAGAAAAAUACAAAAAAAGUUAAUAAAAGGUGCGGUCUUGAUCAGCAGGGUAAAGCUACAAAUACGACCAUGCUGUGGACAUCAGCUUUACAUGAAACGUCAAAUAUUAAAGAAGAAAGAAAUGGACAUGUAAUUCCCUCCACCCAAGAUAACUGUAUACAAACCAGACUUCUCUAGUCUAGUAGUAAUUUAAAUUCUAGGAUCCCUUUCCCAACUCCUUAAUUUCCCACCAACAACAUGUCAUAACUAUAACUGAUCUUCGACCCCACAAACCACUACUGGAAAUAUACACAAAUGUGCAAGGCCCUGAAUGAAUUUGUUGGUUAGCAAAAGUCGCACAAAAAAAAAAAAAAAAAAACAAUUCUAGCUAGUUGAACUUGAGUAGUGUAUAUAUUGGCAUUCCAAUUUAGAUUUCAUUGAUUGAUACUGUUUCAUGAAAGGCAAGACACAAACCAUCUUUAUCAGUUUUGAAGUCUAAAAUAGUAGUACUACGUGGGAAGUGGAGUAGGAUAUGAACGGAAGAUGGAGGUUCGUGGACUUCAGUGUCCUACUGUCACGGUUUCGUAACUUUUAACCUAAAAGCUAAGGAAAACAAAAUCGCUAUAGUCAAAAGGACCGAUCAGCCGCGACAGAAUAUUGGGAAAAAAGAGUCGUGGUAGUAGCAACAUUUUCCAACGAGAGACAGAAACACUUUGGUUUCAGGUUAGGAACAGAAUAAGGAGGAUCAGGAUCAUGAUCAGGGUACAAAGAUACAAUACUUGUCUUUCUUCUUUCCCGAAACAAAGAAAGAAAAAAAGCAAGAAAAGUACUGCAUGAAAUUAAGCAAAUUACAACUGAAACCGAGAUGAAAGAUUCUUGAAUUUUGCCUUGAAGUUUUCAUCUGUUCUCUGGGUGCAAUGGGAAGAGUUCUAGGGUCCUAUCUCCCUCAUUUCUACAAUAUCUCUUGUCCUCUUCCAAGCAUUCAAAAGUCCAUGACCUGCACUUUCUCUUGUAAGGACUAUCUUCCUCUCUCCCAAAGUCUCCCUACACAAAUUAACAUGUCCUCAACAUGUUAAGCACUUCAUUUUGACUUUUUGAGCUAGCAGCACAUCAUAAUGUAUACCCUAAUGAAGUAAAACCAAAAAAUGACAACUUUUUUUUUUGUACGGAAUUAUAUAUCUUCAGACUAGGGAGAUUAAAGUCUUAAAUUCUUGAUAAAUAACUAUACCAACUUCAAACUCUCCAAAGUAUAUAUAUAUAUAUAUAUAUAUAGAAGGUUAAGAACAAAAACAAAAUCAAUUAUGAAGAUGAGACGUACCCUUGACUCGUGUGUUAAAGAACUACUAAUGGUAGUGGUGGUGGUGACACCAGGAGCUCUUGGACUAUGGUUAAGGCCGAGAUUAUUGCGCUUUUGCUUCUGUCUCUCGCGUGCUUUGUGGUUUUGGAACCAGUAAAACACAUUUUUCCCCUCUAUCUUUCCAUACUUUCCCAGCUGUGCCGUGAUUUGUUCAAUUUGUUGAGCAUUUGGAGUCCUCAUGCCCCUCUGUACAGCAUUUCUAGUAUACCUAUUUGCUCUUGGGUUGGAUUCCACCUCGUCCCUCCCGGGUGUGUAUCCACCUGCAUGUCAAAUCAUCAUAAGCUCAGCAACUAUAUUUCCAGUAUCCUUAAACAAGUUCAUCGCCGAAACUAGCUACAUGCUUGACGUCCUUUGUAAGUUACUGCCAUGCAAUACAUGUACGUGAAUUAAUUGAGGGUCUGAAAUUGUUAAAUUACAUGGGCAGUUUCUCUCUUGUCGUCUGAGGAUCCAAGCUUUCUGGGGCCGCUUUCAGGUCUGAUGAAGCUCUUGAGAUCGAAAGGGGGACGGUGGUGGGAGUACUGUCGGUGUUGGAGAGCUUGGGCGCAAGAGGGCGUAAACGCUUGCAGCCAAGCGUGAGGGAUGGUUCAUGCUCCCAAAAUCCACGUGCAAACUGAUGCACCUUCAUGCUUCCCAUGGGUGCCAAUUUGAUGAUGAAAGUGUAGCAAUUAUAUAGAAGGAUGAAGGAAAGAAAGAAAGAAAGAAAGAAAGAAAGGAAGGAAGGAAGAAAAGAAAGUGGGAAAUGAGGUGGUGCCUAGAAGAACCAAGACCAAAUGAUGAGGUGAGGUUGACUUGGGAUUUCCAUUUCAAAAAAAGAAAGAAAAAGUGAUCUGGAGCAGAGAAAAAGAGAGAGUGAGUGUGUGAUGUAGAAAAAUGUGCUAUCAUUGUAUUAGUGCAUUGAGCGUGUGGAUGAGUGCUAGCUGUUGUAAUUGGUCUUGUAGUAUCAGAAAAUUUUCUGUAUUUAAGACUGAUUGUACGAUCAGUCUCAGCCAAGUUACCCACGGGAGGCUAUAUUGAAUUUAAUUAGACUGGUGAUAUUUAUAUGAUUGUCGUUCCAUAUUAUAUUAUUCUGGCACAUAUCAAAAUUGAAGAAGUAUGGUACAUAUAGAUGGACGCCCAUGUAGAUGUAGGAGGUGUUUUUAAUCAACACUUCCAAGAACGAAAUUUACACACUGUAAUUGAUUGGUAAUUUUAGGACAAAAGAAUCAUGUAUUUCAAGGACUUGUGCUCUUUAAUUGCUAAUUUAACUUAGAUUUUCUGAGCGCCCUAAAAUUUAAAGAUAUUGAUGGUAUGUGUGUAUAUAUAUAUAUAUAUAUAUAUAUAUAUAUGCGUGUGUUGGGUAGUCUAAUCGAUCGGGUGGUAUUCUUUCUCUCUUGCUUUCAUGAUAAGGUGUGUAUGCUUUUCGGUGGCCUCUCUUCUAAACUUUAUCACUAAAAAAAGGUGAAGAGGGAGGGAAUGGAAAAAGAUUCCUCCAAUCCCAAAACUUGAAAAUGGAACUCUAAUUUGCUUUCUAAGAUACGGAUAUGGUCGUGGUGUGAGAAGAACUGAAUGCCGUCUUUUAGUGGUAGAGCAUGUUGAAAAAACAAACAUAUUAAACCAAAUCUAUCUAUCUCUCUGAUAACCCCCAUAUCUAUCAAUCUAUCCAAUAUCCAUCCAUCUCUCUCAAGUCUCAACUCAAAUCCUUUUCUUUUUCUUUGGGAACUGUAGUUCCAAUUUCCAAAAUAGUAUAAAACCACCAUCUCUGAUCUCACUCACUUUAUAUCCCUCUUUUGUUGUAUCACAAAUUCUUGCAUGCAUGAUUCAAACAAACACACACCUUCGCACCCUUGUUUAAUUAGCCACUACGUACUGCUAUAUAUACUUUGCCAAUUUUCUAUCGAAUAAUCAUUGUCUGCCACUGAUCUUGACUCUGAUAUGAUUAGCUAUCUAGUUUAAAUUAAUCACACUUGCCAAUUUUCUUCUUCCCAUACGUAGUCCAGUGAACAGAUGAUCAGGAAGGACUCUACGUACUGCCCUAAAAUAUAUAUAUGUAUAUAUAUAAUUGAUGAUCAAGAUUUAGAAUGUUACUAAAAACACCAAUAUAUAUAUAUAUAUAUAUGUAUAGAAUUCUAAGGUGCAUGCAGAUAUCGUCAUGCCUUGUUAAUUAUGCCUUCCAUCAAAUGACAGCGGCUUCGGCUUCAGCUUCAGGUAUCCAAAACUCAAUAAUGCACCAUCACUCUGCUCUAGCAGCAAAAGAAGACUGAUCGGUCAAUAAAGUUUCAAGAGAAGAAAUGGAUGGAGAUCUGAGUUUCACAAAAAUAUAUAUAUCCUUGAAAGUAGCAUGUGCAAUCUUGUCCUCAGCAUAGAUUUGCCCACGAGACAUUAAGUCAAAUUUGUGGUAUAAUUUCAAAACUCGAUCUUCUAAAUAUCUCCUUCGGCAUGGUACAAUCACAAAACAAACAAAAAAAAAUUAAUAUUGUGUUCAUAAUUCAAAAUUGGCCAUUAGAAUCUAAACAUGUGGCCGGAACAAGUACACCUCGGACCUUAAUGUCUAAUCAAAUGUUCAAGUUUUCUCUGUCUUGUUCCUACCUCGAACUUGCACUGCAAUGUGGGGAUUGGGAAGUAUGAAAUUGUUCAUGAUCUCAAGCAUUUGAUUGCGUUCUGAAUUUGCACCUUGCCAGCCUUGAAAUGGAGGAAUAUCCUUCUUCUUUUUUUUUUUUUUUUUUGUAAAAGAUACUUCUUAGCGUGUUGACAUUAAGCAAAGGGCACCUUAUUAUCCCUUUCUUUCCAAUUUCUAAACACUACUGUACUUCACUCUUCUUCUUCUUCUUUUUUUUUUUCUUUUGGAGAAAAGGAACUAACCAAUUACAAAUAUACAAAAAAAAAAAAAAUUAACUGGGUCUUAAUUUCCAGCUAACACCAAAUCUGGGAGAGAUAAACACGGUACUUCACGAGCACCGAACUUCUAUAGGUCGUUGUUGGAAAUAUGUUUCCAUAUUCACAUACACAUAUAUAUAACACGUAUAUGUAUACAGUAUUCGGACUUUUAAAAUCCCAAGAAUAUUGCAUAAUGCCUAAAUAGAAGUCAGUGACAAAGUAAAACUAGUUAGUUAAAAGUGCCGUAAAUCUGUCAUCCCUACACAAAAACUUUGUUCAACUUAAACUACAUUAAUUUUAGGGUAAAAAACCUAGAAUUGCGUAGUUAUUGGAUAAAAUUACCCCGCACUUUGUCACGUAUACUGCUAAUUUCAGAAAUUUAGAGCAAUUAUCGACUAAAUGGUCACGGAUUUACUGAUUAAGUUGUUUAGUGGCCAAUUACUGACGAAAAAUAGUUUGAUGGCCAAAACAUGAUCUUACCAAUAGUUUAGUGGCCGCUGCGAUUUUUUGCCCUUAAAUUUUAUGUAAAACCUUGUGAGGACCAAAAUUGGUUUUGUAUGCUAGCUGCACUAAAACUUUCUCCAACCCUGGCUUUCAGCCGCAUAAGAAUUUAAGAAAAUUAAAUUAUGUACUGCGUAAAACGGAAAACCUACUAGACACUCUACUACUAUAUGAAUAAUUUACUGGGGGAGGGGGCCUUCUAAAGAUUGAAAAUAAUUUAGUACUCUAGUAUUCUAGUACAAGUCCUGGCAUCCAGAAGGUCAAUCUACACCAUGACCGAUCAUAUUUCAUGGGUUUUAUGAUGCCAAAUAUUGACAUUGCGGUUCCCGGCCAAAAGUUUGCAGAUCACAGUUGACAGUAAUGCUAACACCUUCAAUCGCGACAGGAUAAUUUAUGGUCGUUUACAAAAUUCUCUAACCUAGUUUCCUAGGGCUUCAUAAUUCUGUACCUAGUCUAUGUUUGUUAGGACUUCUUGUCACGAAAAAGAAUAAUGCUUGUCAAGCCAAUCUUAACUUUAGCGAAAAAACAUUUUAAUCUUGCACGCAUUUUAGUAUUACUACAACAUAUGCUCUCAAGUUUUGAUGGAUUCCCUUCACAAAAAGAUGCUAGUGUACAAAAGAAGAUGUGGCACGAGGAGGAGUAGGCAUAUUCGUUUUAGAGUGAGUUUGAUAAAAUUAAGAACUGAAAUCUGAAAUCUGAAAUUUAAAAUUUAAAUAUAUUAAGUAUUUAAUAUUUGAGUGUAUUUUGCGUUAAAUGAUAAGUGAGCAACUUAUUACUUAUUAAAUCAAAAUCAGUUAAUCACUUAAGACGUUCUAUUUUUUGGUUAUUAAACACGUCUAAACAUAUUAAAAUUUGAAUCCAUAUUACAUUUAAGUGCUGAAUUGAGUUUUUAAACAAUAGCUUACUUUUCUUUAAUGUUCUCUGAUCGGAGGAUAAGGGUGUUUUUUAGGUUUAGAAGAGAUCCUAUAAUUUAUUUUUUAGAAAAAAGAAAAAGAAAAAGUUGGAGAGUCUGAAUCAAUGGAUCCAUCAUGAGCUAACUAAAAGUCGCUAAAAGUUGAACCGAUGAGACAAUAAGAGUUGAACAUACAAAUUGAUAACCUUAAGGCAUGAAGUCUCUAAAAUGGCCAAUUGGCGAAGACUUCAUAGAAGGUUUUCCAAUGAAAAGGAGAUGAAAUUGCUGUUUUGAGACAACAUCCGUCGGCACUUCAAAGAAAAAAUGAGGAAGCCAAUUUUAUUUUUUUUGGUUUUAAAUUUUCUCAACCAUCCCCAACAUCUGCCCUCCGGUCCCAGUCGCCAGAGAAAAAAGAUAUGAAAAUAAAAGAUGAAAACGUGGGGGAGAGAUAAUUAUAUGUUUCCGGCCAGUGGGGAAAAAGUGAAGUGAAUGAUUAUUAUGGAAAUUCCAGCAAGAAUUAUGAGUUUUCUCUUCUUUCAUUUUUUUUCCACCAUGACGUGAAAGGUUUUGGACAAUCAGCUUUUGUUCCAUGUCCAGCCAAACCGUCAAUACCAGUGCCUUAGGAAAAUCAAAACGUAGAGAAUACUCAUGAAUGAAUAUACAUACCUAAUUAGGAGGGCUUUCCAUUUUCAUUUCCAAUUCUUUUUUUUUUUUCAUUUCCUAUUUUUUGAAGUCUUUGUCCAUGCAUGUUAUGCUCUGCUCUCUGUCCCUCGUCCCAAAAACACGCCCCAAUGAUAUGUCGGUACCACCCAUUUGAAUUCUCUUCAUAUGGUUUUUGUUUUAAAUUACUGUUCAAUUUUGUCCGUACGUAAGAUAAAUUUCCCGGCGGUGCAUUUUUCUCAUUCCUGUGCUGUUCUGUUCUGUUCAUUUUUACCUGAAUUUAACACGUUGGCGGUUAAAAAGUUAUUACUUGUCAUGGGUAGGCUGGCUGCUACGAAAAAAAUAAUUAUUCAUUUCGGAAAAUAUUUCAUUUUGCUCCAAACGUUAUCGCGCAUUUGGCCUUCACGGUUAAUACAUUUUUUUGCGGUUAAUUACGAUCCUCCUCAUUGAAUUUCUCUUUAUUUUUCUUUCCAUUUAUUCCCGUCCAAAUUAAUAUAAUGUUAUAAAAUUAUGCAAUUGUGUCAUUAUAUUUCUUUUAAUUUUUGGAUCAAUAUACCAAAAAAUGAUUUUUUUUUUUGGAGAAUAUUUUGACAUUGAGUUUACGUGGAACAUUUGAACGGUGAAAAAUGGAUCAAAAUUGUGACAAAAUUUACAAUGAUUAAUCAAACAGCAAAACUUUUUGUAUAUAACUAACACAAGCACUGAAACAUAUUACAUAUAUAUAUAUAUAUAUAUAUAUAUAUAUAUAUAUAAAUGGAGUUGAUUUUCAAAAAUAAUGGUUAAAUUAAUUUUGUUGAGGUAUAAUGGAUUGAAAUUCUGUCCGAUGCAAUGGAGAGGAAUCUAGUUCCAUUAAAAUGUGCGGUGUUUUGCAGGUACCAUACUUUAAUAGCUAGAAUAUUUGUAAUCCAUGACCAAUCAGAUAUUGAAAUUUGAGACCGGAUGGAGAAACCUGAUUCCAAAUUCCAACUGUGAACAUUUUCUGUUUUUACUACUCAAUUGCGAACCAAAUCAUGACACCUUGGGUGUUCCGAGUCUCUUUUACAUCUUGCCCACCACAGGCCACUGUACAAAAAUUCCAACUUUCGAUUACAACCGCGAAGAAAGAAUCUAAGGAUGCAUGGACAUAUCCUAAUGAUCAAAGGGGCUCAUUUGCACGAGUUUGAUCCCUAUGAUAGUAUCACUUUUCUCCUGAAAUUUAAUUUGUAUUAUGCUUUUUACAAAAGGAGAGGAAUAAAAAAACCAACAAACAAAUUUAAAGAUCCGAAAAAUUAGGGAUUCCUAUUUCACAUUAUGCGUGAGAAAACCUGCUUUUGAUUUUUGCCGUUUUUAAGGACUUAAAAAAUGGCAGAAUUAGAUGCGGAUUGUGAGCUUUUUUUUUCUUUUUUUUUUUUGAGUGGGAGUUUUUGAACAAAAAAUAUUCUAAUUAUAAUCCCUCGCUCCUCACAUUCUUAUGUUUGGAUAGAGCAUUAUUUCAAAUAAUUAUUUGGAAUAAUUACUGUAGCACUUUUUGUGAUGUGAUGUAUGUGAGAUAAAAAGGUGAUUGAAAAUAUAAAAAAGUGAAUUGGAAAAUGUGUUUAUGAUGCAAGCGAAAAAAAUUUUUGGAAAAAUUUGCUAUCCAAACAUGAGUAAAGUUUCACUGUUGAUCCAUAUCCACACUCUUUCAAAAACAUUAAAAGAAAUAAAAAUAGAAAAGCAAGUACUUGUGAUUUUUAUUUUUUAGACACACUAUCAAUAAUAUUACUUGUUUUCGAUGAAAGUUGAAGUGGACAUAUAAUAUAAGUGGUGCAAGUUUCUAACCUGAUCCGCGAAAUUCAAAGAAAAAACAGUCCGCAAUGAUCUAUGCUAGACUAGCAACAAACAUGCAAUCCAACUCCAAAUGCAAAUAAUUUUGAACAGGGCAGGGAGGAUUUGAUUGGACCAUAAGAAGAGAUUAUGAGUAGGAAGUUUUAAGUUCAAUACCUCUCGUUUAUAAAAAUGAAAAAAAUUAAAUAAUUUUUGACAGCCUUUUUUUUUUCCAUGGUUAAGAAGCAUUUGGUUAAGUAGAAAAGACGAAAUGAAGGGAAGGAAAUGGGUGAUUUGACGGGGUUAAUUGUCGGUCAAAGAAAAAGUCUGGAAGUUGGGUUGGGUGGUGGCAUGACAUGAGGUGGGAGCCACACAGUGGAAGAAACGGUGGAAAACCAUCAUUGAGGAGGGAGGACAUUGUCAUCAUUUGCACGUGUCCCAUGGACCACCAUUUUUUUGAUUUCAUUCCCCAUUCCAAUUCCCCCCAAUUCCUAAUUCCCAUUCCUCUUCCCCGUCUUCAUCGGGUCCUCCGUUUCAUAAUCCUAUUCUUGCUCCUGCUCCCUAGAAAGAGCAGGUCACCAACAUUUCGGCUGGCACCGCCGCGUAGGGCCUCCGCCUCCGAUUUCCAUCGUCAUAGUUGGACUUGGGGUCAGGGAUAACUCACUCUCAGUUCGACACUCUAGAGUUAUUCAUCCAAAAAGUGUUUUACCCAUUAAGAUUUGAUGUACGUUUAGAGUACGAAAUAUAUAAUCAAUUGCAUUACGUCCAUUUUCACUUUAGACACUUAUCAGAUUUAAUUUUACAUUUUUUAAAACUAAGAUCCUUUUUGAAUUUACUAUUUUUAGAACUUUUUAUAGAGAAAUGUAUUAUAAUGAAUUUGAUGUAUGUGAGACUAGGGAUACGAACGAACAUAAUCAAACCGAACACCAUAGUAUUUAAACUUCUUUAAUUAUUUUAUUGAAUUUGAAAUUGUGUUGCAACUUGGUUUGUUUAUCUAUCAAGUCGAACUCAAACGAAUUUUAUGGAGUUGAGUUCGAAUAUUUUGAAUAUUUUACUUUUAAAUUUUAAUUUUAUGCUAAUCGAGCCAAACUUGAGCCGAGUUUGGAAAAUUAUCGAAAGUAAAAUAUUGUUCAAGAUUACUUUGAUUAGUUGAAUAAACUCUUGUCGAGGCGAACUCGAUUUGAGUAUUGAGUAGUAUGACUUGUUUUUUAACCUUGCAUGAGAUAAAAAGAUAAUUAGAAAAUGUGUUAAGAAAUAUUUUCAUUUUUUUUUAACAAAAACUAGCAAUUCAAACAUCACCUAACACUUGCUGAAACACUUACUAGACAAUACCAAAUUAAUUUACCUCCCCUACAAAGAAUUACUAUGAAGUACAGUAGCUAGAUACUCGUAAGAAUAUAUAUAUAUAUAUAUAUAUAUAUAUAUAUAUAUAGACACACAUACACACACACAAAGAGUGUAACGGCCGGUGGGGAGGGCAAUUGUUCUUCCAAUAGUUCAAAAAUCCUUCUAUAUCUGUCUAAAAUGUUAAAAAUUCUCAUCUACAUCCUUGUAAAUAUUACAUUUUAGCCCCAAUUUUUUUUUUACAAGAAUAUAAGAGUGCCUCCUAAGUAUACCUCUUCACCAGUCCUGUCCCUAAGUCCCAACUUCUGGUUCCAUCAGUGCUAUCAGACACGUAUUGAGGCCUUUGUUACGUCUCACCAACAUUAUGCCAUGUGAUCUAGAGGCAUUUUUUUUUUUUGUUUCUAAGUACGGCGGAUAACGGCUUUACAGUCAAGAUUUCAGCUUUCAUGAUAGGAUAUCUGAAUCCCACAGAGAAUGUUUUUUUUUUUUGUAGCAUUUGAUCAACGGUACAUUCUUUCAGGUUAUGGUCGUCUGGAUACUUUUGUUUCACGCUCUAGAUGAGCCACGAACACCACAAACCAAGAAUUGAGGAAUGUAGUGCAUGCAGAAUUUGCAGGAGACCAUCUAUGAUGCACAUGUACCCCACACUUAUUAACCUACUUUAGAUUGUGUCUGUCUCGACCUAUAUAGCAUUCCAAUAUACAAAUGUCUUUAAAGUAUUUCCGAGUUUCUUGAUCAUCUAAUAAGGAAACUAUAGAAAAGAAACGAGAGAGUAAAAAAAAAGGAAGAUGGAUGCAUGGUUGACGCAGCAGACGAUUUUUACAACUUAGAAUUGAAAAGGGUAAAGGGACGAUGGACCUUUUGAAUGAACAUGGAAUAACUCGGGAGGUUUAAGAACUACAUACCCUUGAUUUAUGAGACGGGUUGACCGGAGGCAACAUCAGGAACGAGGAAAGAAAAGAAUUGACAGCAGGUGGCAGUUUCAGUCUCAAUCUUGAUUGUACUGGAGAACCGCUUCAAGGGUCUUCCCCUCAAUUUGAUUGAUAUUCUUGAAUAUUUAAGGGUUUUAUCCAGAUUUUAGACAAAGACGUAAAAACUUUACUUGUUGAAAUGAGAAUCAAAUUCAGCUCCUAAUCAUGCCCGGCCACCAAAACAUGCUUCACUUAAAUUCAGGAAAAACUGCAGAUCCUUUUAGUAUAUUGUAUAUGCAGAUGAAAAACCCUCUGGUAUUUACCAUGUCAUAUGUAUUCUCGAAUUAAUGUUUAAUCAGGAUUCUAUAUACUUUUCCAUUUGAAGCAAUUCAAGGCUGUCGGUAAGAUUUAACAAAAAAAAAGGCUCAUCAUAAACAUGAUUAGUAUUCUAGUUUAAUUUUUUUUUAAAGAAAAAAAUAAAGAAAGGGAAUGAUUUAAGGAUGCCAUCUUCAGUCACUUUUGCCAAUGACUUUAUAUUUCCAUACCCUGGUUCUCGUUUUGAUUGGAAACCUUUUUAGCUUGGGAAUUGAUGGAAAACAAUCACCGAUGCAAUUGCUACUAACCAUUGAUUCUAAAUCAUGUCAUAAGUAUAUGCCAGAUAAAGUUAAUGCGAGAGGGCAUCAUUUCUCUGAUUGAAAUUCAUUCCAAGUUAGAUGUUUUACACGGGCAUCUUUUCAUCAUAUGAUGAGUUUGGUUCGUGACCUAAAUGUUCCAUGGAGUAAGUCUCUUUUCUCCCUCUUUUUCCUCUUCCUUUCCACUUUUUCCCCCCCAAAAAGAGAAAAAGAAUGUAUCAUGUGUACUCAUGGAUGGAUGAGUAACAUGAGGGCACAGUGAUCAGAUGUCAUGUCUUGUAAGGGAAAGUGGGCGCAAAUGUGCUUAGAAAGGGAUUUUUCUUAGGAGAAGGGCGUAAAUGGAUGACAGUCCAAAAACAAUUAAGUUGGUGAAUUGAUGGCACUGAAAGAUCCUCCCAAUGCAAACUUUUUCUCUCCUUUCUUUCAUUUUAUUCUCUCUUGUUUUUUUUUUUCCUUUGCUUUGCUUUUUGUUGCUGCUGCUGCUUCAUUUCAUGCCUUUUUCUUUAUUCAUCAUCUGAGUUUUUUUUAACCCCUUUGUGGCGCUUGCACAAACUCAAAAGAGUUAAAUCUUGACUCCCUACAAAGUCCAAAUGUCUCUUUCACUUCCUUUUCAUUUCCCACUAUGAAAUGCUAUUCCCAAGUUCUACCCCACUCCUCUACCAAGUGCAGAAAAGAUCACACUCCAAUCACAUUUUUUUUUCUUUUUUUUGAAAAAAAAAAACUCGGAAAGAGGGUUUCCCGCCAAAUGAACUCAAGGCUCUUUCCUAGAACGCAACACACCAUGAUCGAAGUCAACAUAAAUCAUCAUUUAUCAUCAAGCCAGACAACAUCCCAUACUCUACUCCGAGUUAGUCAAAAAGAAAACAGAAAUUCGAAAGAUAUUCUUAUGGAUAUGAAGAUUAAACUUGAACCAAACGAAUCCACACAUAUUUCUUGAUUAGGAACUCGGAAGUGCACGUGAAUAAAAUUAGUAAAACAUCCUGGUUUCGUUUAUAUCAGAAUAUUCCAUUUCUCACUGUCAAAUGUUUGUUCUAACUUCUAACCCACACCACCCCCUCCUCCCCCGAAAAAAAAGAAGAAGCUAAUUCACUAACAGUCAAACUAGGCUCAAUUCAAUUAAAGGUCGACCAAUUUAAUAAGGGUAAAUUUUAUAUACAUUAAUAGUGUAUAUAUUAUCAUCAUUAGAUUCAUGACAUAUGUAUAAAAGUUGGAUUUCAAAUUCAAAUUUUACAUAUUUAUUAUUUAUUCAAGACUGACAGUGUACAUACUGUCAGUGCAGGAAAGAUUAAUCAAUUUAAUAAUACUACAUAAAUAGUUUACAUUAUGAUAAUUAUCCAUGUUUAAAAUUAGCAAAGUUUUAUGAAACAAUUGGGCACGUUUUGCUAAUAAUUUUUUAAUUAUAGUAACUAUAUGAGGAUAUUUUCUUGUGCUUAUGUAAUUGUUGAAAACGCGUACGUAAAAAAUUGUGUAAUUAUUUUCCAAACAAUUCAGAUUGGCUCAAAUAUAUGGGCUACAUAAUUGGGCCUAAUAGAACGUGAACUUUGAAUGGGCCCAUCCCAAGCCAACAAAAUAGGGGUUUCUGGGGCUAGGAAGGACUUGUUGAAAGUUGAAACUGGCCUCAUUAGGCCCAAUGUAGUCUGUUUUAGGCCUGUGUAUAUGUGAUUAUCUGAAUAUAAAAACACCUCUAUAUGAAUAUAUGUAUUUAUAUCUAUAUUAGUAUAUUACUGCCAUUAUAGUAUAUAUACAUGUACAUGAACAAUGAAAUUUUGAUACAUAUGUACAUGCCUAUACAUAUGUUGACACGUAUAUUGCACAGUUGCACACACAAACAUACAAAAAAAGGUUCCUAUUUAAAAAUUGUCAAAUUGGCAAAAUAAAAGUUUGAGCUGUUUAAGUUUCAGUAACUAUUAUGGGCGACAACAUGUUAAUAGAUCGUAAAUUAUUUAUAGGAAUAUAUAUAUAGAUUAUCCGCUAAUACACCUCUGACAUUAAAAACAAAAAUUUAAAUAUACGAUAUUUUGCAAGAAAGUGAUUCAUAAUUGAACCAACGCGUAUUCGCAUCACAUUAUGCACAAAGAUAACUUCCUGGUUUAACGACCACUUGAUUUGCCUACUCUCUAAGUAGAGAAAAGAAAAGAUGAUGAGUGAAAACAAAGUAUUGUAGUGCCCAGGAUCAAGUUCUGGACACCCCCGGGUUGCCAUUUUUUGAUCUCAAAUGUGUCAUUUUCCGUAAGAUGUAAUUUUGCAGGUUUGAAAGCAGAAUCACUUGCUCUGGAUCAUUGCCAGUCUCUGUGACGAACAACAAUCUUUUUUGAGAACGAACCUGUGCUUUCGCUUUAUUCCUUAAAAAAAAAAAAUUAGUAUCUUAAAAUGAAACUUCUAAAUUACUAGUUCUAAUUAGUUCUCCAGCAUACCCAAAACAACUUUCCCUUCCAUCAUUCCAGCGCAUUCACCAUGGUAAUGAGACUGUUUUCUUCAACACCAGAAACAAAAUGUUGAUCAUACAUUUACAGGAUUAUGAUUACUUGACGAUGAAUUUGUAGGUACUUUUAACUAGGAUCAUUUUGAUGUCUGCCCGCUUUUUACAUUGAAUGUUCUGGUGGCAUGCGUUUAUUUGCAUAGCAAGAAGUGCUCUAGCAGUCUUCUGUUAAACUGCAUUUGUCAAGUGGCCCUUCAUUUCUAUACACAUCAAGCGUCAUGGGGCACCUAUUUUUUAAUAUGUGGUCAUCAUGUUAAUUCAGAAGACUAGAAGCUGAAAGACACACAUUAAUUUGGAAAUUAAAAGAAGCUGUGCAUAAAAAUGGAAGGGUUGUCAAAUGUUUGACAUGUUAAAUGCCCAACCUAGGAAAAGAAGAUCAAGGUGGGCACACUGGGCACCACAACGAUAACAACAUAGCCAUAAUUGGUUUUGUUAAUCUUGGGUAUGGAACUUUAACUAGGAUAUGUUCAGUUUUGGCAUAAGAUUUCUUAUACUUGUCUGAAUGACACCUUUGUUUGUUUGUUUGGAUUGUGACUUUUCGUGAACACAUUUUUUGAUCACUUUUUAAUCUAACAUACGUCAAAUUGUUACGGUACAUUUUCCUACGAUACGUUUAUUCUCAAUGUCAAGAUUUGGAGCUAUCCAUCCACUUGUGGUCUGUUUAGCACCAUUCAGUGACUAUAGGAGAUGAGGCGAUUCAAACCAUUAAAGUAAGCAAGUGUUUGACAGUCAUCUAUAGGAAGAUAGAUAUGUUACAUCUCUACCAAUUUCUGUCGGGUUCAAUUGAAGUUGUUGCUUUCCACACACCACAACCACCACCGCCACCACCCCUAACAUAAAAUACAAAAAGGUACUAGUUGAUAUCAAUUAUAUCAAGUGAGCUAAUUUAUGUCAAACUUAGUGGACUUGAUAAAAAAAGCUUAAAUUGUUUGGGCCAAUUGGACUAAGCAUGGGUACUUUUCAGAACGAGGAAGUCAUCAUGGGUAUCCCAUUUUCUAUCAAUGUCGAUGGAUUGGCGCAUGAGAUCAGAUCUUGAACAUCAUAGCCCAGAAACCACUCUGAACCGAAAAAAAAAAAUUUGCAAAUUGAACUAGUAGUACUAUCUGGCAAAUGCCUCGCUUCAGUUCACAGAAUUAUUUUGGGAGAUCUUUGGUUGGAAUUUCAUCUUAUUAUUUCUGCAGCAAUAUUACAAAUGAUUUAGCAAUUGAUUGGAAAACGACCGAACGGGAUAGGACGUUAGCAACAGUGUACAUUAAUGCAGAUAGGAUUUCGAAGUUAUGAUGGUCCGGUUAUUGAAUCUUAUUAAAGGGACAGCUUACACCAUUCUUCUGGUAUGUUGUUCCUGGGACGGGUAUCUGCUUUUCAUCUCAAUUCUUGAAGAUGUGCCCACCAAAUUUUUGCUGAUCAGUUCCCCAGUUUUCUACAGCCUACAAAGGGAAUUGGAUUAAAUUUGGUAAUUCAACAGACAAUAUCAAGAUGUGCCUAUAAAAGCCCAGCAAAACCAAUUUUCAGAAACGUUAAAUGCUCUGAAUUGAGUCCAUCAAGCAAUUUAUUUUCUUGGUGUUUUUCGAUUUAUAAUAUUGGGUCCACUUUGAUCAUAUUUUAAUAGUAGGAGAGGCAGCAUUGGAACACAUUUUGUCGCCCAAGGAGCAGGACCAAUUUAAAUAUUCAACGGACGGACUCAAUCAAUGCAUGCAAAAUCAGCAGUGGGAAAACGCCAAACCUUUCUUAGUUUGCUUUCAAGUCUAGGAAUUUACUGCAACCUGAUAAUCAAGAAGGUAUUAUUAUUGAAAGUGAAGUCUACAGUGUAAUUGAUAAGACGUUUCAUCUGUGAUUGAAAAGCUAUGAUUUCAGUAAGUGGGAUUCACUUAUUCUCAUGAACAAUAAAGUGCAUUGUAAUUGAUAGAACUUUUUUUCUCGGGAUUGAGGGGUUACGUGUUCAAUAAGUGGGAUUCAUCCUCUUUAAUAACAAGACAACAACAAUAAUAAUAAUAAUAAAAAGAAUGUGUCAUUACUCAAGGUCUUCGAUUCAUGUCCCUCUAUUUCAUCUCCACAUCUUAAAUAUUUUAGUUAAAUUCAACUCCUUCUUUUUUUAAAAAAAAAACUAUAUAUAUAUAUAUAUAUAAAAAAAAAGGGUUUCACUUUCAUAACCACGGUCAAAUGACCCGGGAUACUCCAUUGCACCUACCAAAUCAAAAUCGAAGGGUGUUGCUUAAGCUAGAGGCCAUCACUUCAGCAAGAAAACAGACCCGUGUCAGAUUCUUUGUCAAUCCUUAUUCUGAGUUUUGCUUGGAAGCAAUUUGCAACUUUUGCAGGGUUACCUUUGGUUUCGACUUUGGGCUGGUAAAUGAGAAGUUGUCGUUUUCAUAGGACGUUUAAAUCAUAGGAUUUGUGUAAUCACAAAAACUAUGAAAUUCGAGGACAUCAAAACUCUCAAGAUUUCCAUUUGGAUUGUAAUUUUUAGGAUUUUUUUUUUUUUUCCAAUUCCGCGUGUGUGGAUCCUAAUAAUCCUUGAAUUUAUCUUCCAUAAAGACUGUCUACGGUCGUAACCCCAAGUGUACAGUCUUUUAAGGACAACCCGAGGAGCCGGCCGGCCAGCCAGUUGAGCAGGCAACUGGACAAAAAUCUUUUAAGAUCGAUUUUUCCUCCCUCAUUUUAUGAGUUAGUUCAGGGACUGCAAAUCCUAACCGCCGGACAAAAACAGUCGUACUAACUUAGAUCGCGUACAAAUCAAACAAAAAAUUCCAAAAGCAAGCAAAAAUAAGCACCCCCGCUCCUUACUUACCCAAAUAAAAUAAAACCAAAGGCGGCAAUAUUUAAUUGGAACGCCCUUGGCGGCUUUGCGCAACAUAGUAAGUAAUAAAAUACCAACAUAGGAAAAGGACCGCCAAAAACAGGGAACGUCUAAACAACCCUUUUUUCUUAUUCUUUUUUUUGGGUAGCUUGACUCUCAAAAAUACCAGAUUCCUUUCUGUUUCCAUGAAACUGAAAACUGAAAUCUGAUAUAUUUGAGUAUAUAUCACAUUAAGUGAUAAGCGAAAAACUUAUUGCUUAUUUCUUGGAAGCAAGUUUUACCUAACAAAUCUAAUGUCAUUUAAUUAAUUCAGAUGUUAUCAAAAUGUCUGAAUAUGUUAAGAUCUGAAUUCAUUAAUUUUAAAUGUUGAAUUAGAUUAUGAACUUAGUGUUUUUUUUUUAUUAUUUGGGUGGUCGGUCCAUACAUACAACAGUUCAUAGGGUGGCCAAAGGCAUCUAAACAAAUGCCAUACAUAUUAAGUUGCCAUUUGUACUUUUUAAGAUUAAAAAAAGCCAAGAAAGAAGACUAGUAAAUUGCUCACCGCCCACCUCCCCAUCAUGCAAUGCUCCACUACCAAACAAGCCUUUUCAAAGCUUCCACCAUCUCUUGAAAGCGAUUGAAACAUGAAACCACUACUACUUGCAAUGCUUAAUCGAUCCCAUUUUUUUUAACCCUUUCAGAGAGUCUUAGGUAAGUGUGUGUUUUUUCGUGGCUGGUGGCAUCCUGCAGUAUCCACAGGACGUCACAGGUAGCGCUUGGGACGCCAAGCUUGUACCCUUAUCUUCUUCUUAUCUUUUCUUUCGUAUGGCAACUGAAUGUAGGCCAUAGCUGCUGUUCCUUUAUCAUCUCAUUAUUCCGAUGGUCUCCAUCCUCGGCACCUCCUUAAUUUCCAAUAUUAUCACCCAAGCCUCAUACAAAAAACUUUCAAUGAAACAGUACAAAAAAUCAUGAAAACUGUCAAAGAAUUCAAGAACCAGGUGUCCUGAAUUUAUAUAUAUAUAUUAAAAAAAAAAAAAGUAAGUAAGCGAUCCACCUCCCAGAUCAAAUAAACAACGAAAAUCGAACUUCAUCAGAGAGGGAAUUAAUUAGUAAAUGAUUCAUUCAGGACUUAAUUAGGCUAUAUAGAUGGUUUAUCAUCUUUAAUCCUCAUAAAAUUUCACAACUAUAUGUAAUAGAAUUUAAGCAACAUAUAAUCCCUUUGGAUUAUACAUCUCAAAACAUCGAUUCCAAUGAGAAAUCUUUUCACUAACAGCCGCGAAAUCAUAAGUUACACGCACUACCCUCCAAGAAUAUAGCAUACUCUCUUUUAGUCCAUCGUCUUUUCGCCCCGUUACAGCUCUAUGUCUCCCUUCGGAGGUCAUCUCUAGUUCCUGAUCAUCUUGCUUGUCGCCAAGAAAACAGAAAAGCCAUCAAAGUAGUUGUCCUCGACAUCGUUUUUCAGUUGUCGUCAGAAGUUUCCGGGCUAGGAUAUUCAUUCAAGUCAGGCUUCUCCAGGCGAGGAGGAGUAGAAUUGGAUUUUGUCGAAGAAGCAUGCACUGCAGUUUGUUGAAGCGCAUCAACUCUGGCUCCGACCUCAGUAGCUCUCUUUCUAAUAGCAGCCGCAGACAAGUCAUGCAGCUCAUCAUCUUCAACUAUGCAUUCAGGGAAGUUAAGCCUCGCCGAAGGGCCUCUAAGGUAGAAGACGGCGGUGUCGUAAGCCCGCGCCGCUGCCACCGGAGAAGAGUAGGAGCCAAGCCAUAUUCUGGACCUCUUGUUAGGCUCCCUAAUCUCAGCCACCCAUUUACCCCACUUUCUCAUCCUUAUUCCUCUGUAGGGUUUCUCCUGUUGGUGAUGAUUUUCCCUUUCCUUUCUUUUCUCUGUGCUUGAACAACACCCUCCUUCCAUAUCACCCGAUAGGUAAAAACGAAGAAGAAAAAGAACCCUUUUUUUUUUUCUUUUUCUUCUUUUGUUCUUGAAGAAAUCAGCUAUCAGUCUGUGGGUGACCUGCUCACCCGAAAAGAAAGAAAGAAAGAAAGAAAGAAAGAAAGAAGAAUUGAGGAGAAGAUUCUGUUUUAGGUAGAUAACAACUGUCCAAGGAAAAAGCUUGCCUUAGGAGGGCCAAUCAUAUUUAUAUGGAGGUGGGAGAGAAUACAGACACAGUUAUUAUAAGUAUGAUGAAAUAUAUAUUGUAUAGAGCUUUUAUACAUAUAUAUACGUGGACAGAGAAAUGAAUUCAGGGGGUGGCGACUGGCGAAUCAUGAAUGGAAGAAAGCAGGAAUGAUGAGUUAUGAUUGAGGAGGAAAGGAGGGGAAGGAGUGCAUAACAGCACGCAUUAGAGAGGGGGAUUUCUUACUUGGCUGCUAGUCUGUCGUCUGGGCUCGGCCGCCACGUUGAUUGAUCUUCCUUAAAGAUAAGUACAAAUUUGGCCGACAUAGUCCAUCGCUUCAUUCACUUCCUUCCCUUUUUUUUUUUUUUUUUUCCUUAUUUUAGGGUCGCCUCUCCCUCCCUCAUGCAAGAGCCUUUUUUUUUUUUUCUCCUUUUAGAUUUUCUUUAAUUCUCUACGCUUCGUUUGAAAGGUGAAGAUUUGAAGAGCUGAAAAUUGAUUUAGGGAGAAAGUUGCAUCCGUUAUCUCAUUUGAGAGGCGAACCUAGAGGGAAAAAAAUGGAAAUGGAGGAUGCCAAAUCGCUCCAAACAGUGAAGUGUCUUCUUACAAUGAAUGGAAGUAAAGAAAAGGAUAGGGAAGGCAAUAAGUGAAUAUUUCCAUGUAACUAUAUAGCUCUCAGAAGUUGAAUCCGAGUUAUUUACGAGUUUAUGCAGUCAAAAUUAAAGUGUGAGCAGCUCGAAUGGUUUGAGAAUUUGAGUUCCAAACUUAUCAUUCAAGUUAUUGAACUUAAUUGAACUCAAUCAAACUUUAAAUUUGUAUAUUUUUUUUGAAUUCUUCAUAUUUAUUAGUGUAAAAUGUCUAUCAUGUCCUUGUUUAAAAGUGUAUAAAUAUUAAUUUAUAUCAGUUGAACUCGAUUGUAGAGCUAGAUCCAAUUUGAGCACGAAUAACUUGUAAUCUAAUCUAACUCGAGCUAAAACUAAAGUUUUAAGAGCUCAAAUAGUUUGACUUCAAACUAGAGUUCAAGUAUUUUAGGUUGAGUUGCACUCUAAUAAUACAGUGCUUGAACUCGACUCAAUUUACUUGCCCCUAUUCCUACUAUUGUCCUUUAAAAAGUCAAAUCUUCUCAACCGAAGGGGCAAACAUGUAAAAACAUAUUACAACAUUUUAGUUUUUUAUAUGUUAAACUCUCAAAAAACUCAGAAAAAAAAAAAAAAUAGAAAUCAUUUCUCUUUUGUCCUUUUUCCUCAUAACUUGCUCUUUCUUUUCUUUUCCUUUAACUCUAGGAAAAUCGUUCAAACAUUUCUCAUAUUUCGACAAAUGAAUUUUUUAUCUUUCACUUUUAAAAUGUUAUUUUACAUCUCUUAUAAAAUUAAGUAGGUCAAAUAUGAUCUCACCCUAAGUUUUUUACUACUUUUUAGUCUAAAUACAACCAUGUGAUGUACACGUGAUAAUGUUUAUAGGUUCAAAAAGGUCAGAUCCCGUUUGUAUUUAAACUUAUUACUCGACCUACGUUCAUUUUUGUCCCUAACAAAUGUGCAAUUAAUCAAAUUACCUUAUCCACAACUAUUUUUACCCCUAAAAACAUGACGCUUGAUCUUUUUACACCUAAAAAAAAAAUAAUCACAUGUGGGUCAUGUGAUGAAUUCAGAUUAAAAUGUAAUCGAAAACCUAAGUUAGGAUCAAAUUUAGCCUGACUUAAUUUUGCAAAGAACAUAAAGUCAGCAUUUUAAAAGUGAAGAACGAAAAAAUUAUUUAAAAAAAAUGUGAGAACGUUUUAAACAAUUUUCCCCAUGCUAAACUGGCUAACAAGGCCUUAAGGAAACCAAAGCGGCAAAAAUGUGUUCUUCUCGCAUAAAAUCUUGGGGUUAUGACUUUUAUUUGGAAUACAAUUUUACAAAUGCAUCUUUUUCUUGGACAAUGUACACUUAAGUUCGUCGAUUGGAAAAGUAAAACCUUGCACCUGCUCGUAUAAUCGAACCUCUUUGAAUUUGUUUGAGAUGAAAAAUCUGUAGAAGGCUAGGCUAUCUCCUCGGAAUCAAUUCUGAUGAUUAUAAGUAAGAAAAGUUCCAACAAAGAAAGUAGUUUUUAGAUAGAGGUUCCGAAAUCACCAUUACCUCUCUUCCUUGGCGACCUACUACUUUUAUUUACCUUUGCACAAUUUUUCACGUUGAGACCUCAAGAUCGAGAUCUCAUGAUAACAUGUCAAAUUGAAAUCUGCUCAACCUUUUUAUAGUCAGUUCGUGACUCAUCAAUCUUUUAAAUGAUUUAAUUUGCAUGUCAUGAUAGUUGUCAAGACACAGAUCACCUUUGCAUGAUCUCCACUCGUUACCUAUUUUCUAUUUUUCCUCUCCUUUCAUCGAUUUAGGAUCAAGAUGCGUGGAUUUAUUUCUUUCCUAACAUAGUCUAGAGUGAUCUUCGUUCGCUGCAGUUAUGAUAUUGUGUACAAGGGGAGUGCAAUGUUGCUUAAACAUAAGUCUAGAUUCUCCAGAAUGAUAGUCAUCCACAACCGUGGGCGAUUUUGUAUGGUAUGGGGCCUACGUUGCUUUCUUUCCUACUCCACGUAGAAGCGGGGGAAGCUUUUUGCUAUCUGCCGACGUGGAUGGGGCUGGGUUCCGCUUCUACUACGCAAGCUCAAAUCACGUAUGACGUAACCCUCUGGUUUCAUUUUGUCAACAUUACCAAUAAUACUCGUAUAAGAGUAGAAUUAUGUUAUCAAGAAAGGGUGUGCGUAUACAUAUACAUAUACAUAUAUGUAUGUAUUUGGGUGUGUACACACUUCUAUAUGGUAUAAGGAACAAUGAACUUGGUUUGAGAAAAAAUUGUGGGGUUUGUCCAAGUGAUCAUGAUGAUGAUUACAGCAUGUUGACAGUGGUUUACAAAUUUUUUUUUUUUUUUUUUGGGUUUUUCGUAUUCUCUUAAGAGGAGUAUAGGUUAGAAAGGGUUCACAAAUUCAUAUUAGUUUGUGGUUUAUACUUCAUACUUUGUGAAAUUUAUUCAGAAAACAAACAUGAUGGAUGACAUGAGGUGAGACAGGGAGAAACGGUAAAAGUAGGUCGGUGGUGGAUGACUAUUGAAAUUUCAGUAGUGUGUUGAGAAUUGAGAAUAUACGACUUUCCGUCCACGCAAUAAACAAAUCAAGAAACUGGAAAUUGAAGAUGUGAGAAUCAUCUAUUCCGUUCGAUUUCUAUUCUAUUCUAGUGGUCUUACGACUUCAAUUUUUCAAAACCUAAUUUUUAAGUCGGCAAUUUUGUGUUUGGUCAGGUUUUGUUGGUAGGAUGAGAUGUUGUGCUGAACCAAUUUAUACCGAUCACGCCACUAUUGAAUUUUCCUCCUCCUUUUUUUUUUUUUUUUUUUUUUUGGGUUUCAGAGGCAUGUUUCUCCAAUAUGAGAUAGAAGAGAAUAGCACAACGUGACCAGUAAAACAAAGUGACAAGAACGGACAACAGCUGAAACUUGGGGAUGUAGCCUGACUAGAGAUAAAGCUUGAAAGCUUGGCCACCUGCGUCAGCAAGCAAAAUAGGGGUGCCGACAGGUCGGUCCAUUCUAAGGCUACGGCCUAUGGGCAGCCACAGCCGCUGCUACACUACAGGCUGCUAAUAUUAUUGAGAAUGAUGGCGCCUUUCAACCGUCAGCCUCCUUUUCUUGGCCUCCAAAAAUCUGUUUAUGCCUUUUUACGCACUUGAUAGCGGCAGCAAAUGGGCAUGCUUUCAACUAGGCCAUGCUCAGCAUCAGCAGGAGUCCACAAGGGGACCAGCCGAAGAUGCAUCCUUCCUUAUAUGGCAAGUGUGUCGAUACAGAAGCUCUAAGCAUAGGAACCUGCUGCAUUAUUAAAACAUGACAAGAGACCUACUACCAUCCUCGACAAUUUUACGAUGUGGUAUGGUACUCCAUGUUGGCUGUGCAAUUACAUUAAUAUCCCAUUACACAAAUAAUAGGCAAAUCUUCUUCUUCUUCUUCUGCUGCUGCUGCUGUUGUUGUUACUGCAGACAAAUGAUUGAAAAAAAUCUCAGCAGCGUGGCCUCAAAAUCAGUAGUCUGGACAGAAGAAAAGCAAUUCCGGCAUUCAGGUACGCAACUACAAGCAAGGAGUUCAAAAGCCAGUUACUUUAGAAGCAUCCUUUUCAAAGAGGUGGUAUAAAAGAAUUACUUUCCUUACUUACACAGCCUCCAAAUUCAAUGGUCCAAACUGGUAAGAUAUUUAAUGCGAAUAUGAAUUAAGGCAGCCGUGUAGACCUGCGUUGGCACCAAAGCAACCGCAUCUAGCCAUCGAAGAUUUUGUUGGUACUACUUUUAUUUACCUUUGCACAAUUUUUCACGUUGAGACCUCAAGAUCGAGAUCUCAUGAUAACAUGUCAAAUUGAAAUCUGCUCAACCUUUUUAUAGUCAGUUCGUGACUCAUCAAUCUUUUAAAUGAUUUAAUUUGCAUGUCAUGAUAGUUGUCAAGACACAGAUCACCUUUGCAUGAUCUCCACUCGUUACCUAUUUUCUAUUUUUCCUCUCCUUUCAUCGAUUUAGGAUCAAGAUGCGUGGAUUUAUUUCUUUCCUAACAUAGUCUAGAGUGAUCUUCGUUCGCUGCAGUUAUGAUAUUGUGUACAAGGGGAGUGCAAUGUUGCUUAAACAUAAGUCUAGAUUCUCCAGAAUGAUAGUCAUCCACAACCGUGGGCGAUUUUGUAUGGUAUGGGGCCUACGUUGCUUUCUUUCCUACUCCACGUAGAAGCGGGGGGAAGCUUUUUGCUAUCUGCCGACGUGGAUGGGGCUGGGUUCCGCUUCUACUACGCAAGCUCAAAUCACGUAUGACGUAACCCUCUGGUUUCAUUUUGUCAACAUUACCAAUAAUACUCGUAUAAGAGUAGAAUUAUGUUAUCAAGAAAGGGUGUGCGUAUACAUAUACAUAUACAUAUAUGUAUGUAUUUGGGUGUGUACACACUUCUAUAUGGUAUAAGGAACAAUGAACUUGGUUUGAGAAAAAAUUGUGGGGUUUGUCCAAGUGAUCAUGAUGAUGAUUACAGCAUGUUGACAGUGGUUUACAAAUUUUUUUUUUUUUUUUGGGUUUUUCGUAUUCUCUUAAGAGGAGUAUAGGUUAGAAAGGGUUCACAAAUUCAUAUUAGUUUGUGGUUUAUACUUUAUACUUUGUGAAAUUUAUUCAGAAAACAAACAUGAUGGAUGACAUGAGGUGAGACGAGGGAGAAACGGUAAAAGUAGGUCGGUGGUGGAUGACUAUUGAAAUUUCAGUAGUGUGUUGAGAAUUGAGAAUAUACGACUUUCCGUCCACGCAAUAAACAAAUCAAGAAACUGGAAAUUGAAGAUGUGAGAAUCAUCUAUUCCGUUCGAUUUCUAUUCUAUUCUAGUGGUCUUACGACUUCAAUUUUUCCAAAACCUAAUUUUUAAGUCGGCAAUUUUGUGUUUGGUCAGGUUUUGUUGGUAGGAUGAGAUGUUGUGCUGAACCAAUUUAUACCGAUCACGCCACUAUUGAAUUUUCCUCCUCCUUUUUUUUUUUUUUUUUUUUUUUUUUUGGGUUUCAGAGGCAUGUUUCUCCAAUAUGAGAUAGAAGAGAAUAGCACAACGUGACCAGUAAAACAAAGUGACAAGAACGGAAAAACAGCUGAAACUUGGGGAUGUAGCCUGACUAGAGAUAAAGCUUGAAAGCUUGGCCACCUGCGUCAGCAAGCAAAAUAGGGGUUGCCGACAGGUCGGUCCAUUCUAAGGCUACGGCCUAUGGGCAGCCACAGCCGCUGCUACACUACAGGCUGCUAAUAUUAUUGAGAAUGAUGGCGCCCUUUCAACCGUCAGCCUCCUUUUCUUGGCCUCCAAAAAUCUGUUUAUGCCUUUUUACGCACUUGAUAGCGGCAGCAAAUGGGCAUGCUUUCAACUAGGCCAUGCUCAGCAUCAGCAGGAGUCCACAAGGGGACCAGCCGAAGAUGCAUCCUUCCUUAUAUGGCAAGUGUGUCGAUACAGAAGCUCUAAGCAUAGGAACCUGCUGCAUUAUUAAAACAUGACAAGAGACCUACUACCAUCCUCGACAAUUUUACGAUGUGGUAUGGUACUCCAUGUUGGCUGUGCAAUUACAUUAAUAUCCCAUUACACACAAAUAAUAGGCAAAUCUUCUUCUUCUUCUUCUGCUGCUGCUGCUGUUGUUGUUACUGCAGACAAAUGAUUGAAAAAAAUCUCAGCAGCGUGGCCUCAAAAUCAGUAGUCUGGACCGAAGAAAAGCAAUUCCGGCAUUCAGGUACGCAACUACAAGCAAGGAGUUCAAAAGCCAGUUACUUUAGAAGCAUCCUUUUCAAAGAGGUGGUAUAAAAGAAUUACUUUCCUUACUUACACAGCCUCCAAAUUUAAUGGUCCAAACUGGUAAGAUAUUUAAUGCGAAUAUGAAUUAAGGCAGCCGUGUAGACCUGCGUUGGCACCAAAGCAACCGCAUCUAGCCAUCGAAGAUUUUGUUGGCAUAGAAAUUUCUGUAUCCGACAAAAGAGUGUUGGAAUCUUACUCUGUUUGACAAAAGCAUUUCUUUGAAGCUAUUAGUAACCCAUAGAACAGAAAUCCUCAAUGAACGAACAUAUAGCCAUUCAAGUUUUAGCAUGGCUUCGGACAAACCCAUAUUUCACCAAACUAUAAUGGACCGCAAUAAAGAAUAUGAGAAACCCAAGUCAUGGCAAAUAAUUUAAUGGCCAACCAGUGAGAACAAAUCCAUUAUGCUUUAUCCUAUCUAACAUUGUAGCGACCAAAAAUCAUAAACUAUCAUCCCCUCAGCUGUGCCAACAAAUCUUUCAUGUUCAAGACAACUAAAGAAAGAAAAGAUUCUGUUACUACUAUCCGUAGCUUUUAGGAGUUCCUUUCUUAAACUGUGGUGGAUUUUAAUGUGCGUCACCUGCAAUGAGAAAAUGUGGGCCUAAGACAGCCGAUGAACUAAAAUAUAACUGGAGGAAGUAUUGUCUGCCACAACAUGCCAUAGAAUCAAAUGGGAGAAUAACUAACCUCGUGCAUAAGACCAGAAGUGAGAAAUGAUGAAACACAUAAACCUCCAUUUCUGCAACAUGACGGACACUAUAAUCCUCAACAUCCCAGAAUGAAAGGAAAAGCAAGACAACAUCAAGGACCUAAAGUAAGACUCAAAUCUGCAAUAGCACUGGAGAGCCAAAAAUGCAAGUUGAGAACCACUAUUACCAUCGUAAUCCCACUUUCAAAGAAAUGCAAGGGAUGCUCCAGAGAUUAAUACAUUAUUUCUCCAGAAAAAGGCAUAGGUAAUUAUUUAUAGAGGCCAACAGACUCGCAAAAGCUCGAUAUGCAUACCCCAGAUAAAUUAAAUAAGCACAUUAAACCACACCAAUCAUAAUCUCAAAUCACAGCACCCAAAGCCAACUAUUCACGAAUAUAACUUCCUUUGUAAGCUCCCCAAAAAAAAUUUUUUCCUUUGUAAAUAUUCAAACAAAAAAGGAAAAAAGAUUGCAUACCAGAGCAUGGCACCGGGAAAUUAAUGCCUAUAUGAUCAGAUAUUUCCUACUAUAAUCUCUUUGUACAGAUCAAGAGGCUAAGACCCAUAUAAAAUGUUGAAUAGUUGCUCUAUUUUGAACAAAGACACAGAACACUUUUAUAUUGCAACAAGUGAAAAGACAUUGGACCUUUCAAAAGCCAAUAGAGGUCCUGAAUGAUAUAUAUAGCUAUUUCAGUAAUAGGCAAUUCAAACACAUAAGAACUAGAUAUUCAAGAAUAUACUUUGCUGAAGCCUAAUGAAGUUUUUACAACAAAGCUUGUCAGUUGGUAGAAUUGUUCCUAAGAUGGCUGAUGCAUUUUUGAUAUGUUACUAGAUUACGCAUAUAGUGUGCUUCUCUUCUCCUUCUUUUGUUCUCUGUUUUUCUUUUUAAUUUUUCCCUAUUAUAGUUAACGUGCAUUCAAUAUACAUAAUAACCAGCUUUGUCAAAAAUGACUUAGCUGUGUGCCUGAUGCGUCUCUAAUGACUUAGUUACUUCUUCUUGUACCUUGGUCUUACAAUACCAGCAAAAGUAUGUUGUUUAUCUCUUACAUCUUUUUCCUUGUUUUCAUACCAUUAGUGGGGUCCGAAAAUUCUGACCCCUGUUUUGUUUUCAUUCUAGAGGAUGUGGUUCAAGUCAGUGCGAUGCUGAUCCUCAUGUCAAGAAUCUUUUUUACCGGUGGAUUAACAGAACAGGUCCUCCUAUGUGAAGAAGACAAACUGAACAACCUCUACAUGUCACCCAAAGAAGCCUGGAGCAAAGGCAGAGAUGACUGCAAAACCUUUCCAAUUAUCAAGGUUAAAAUCCAUAGCACUUCCACUUCAGAACAUAUUAUGUAGGUGGAUCACCACAUUGUGUUAUAUAACCAACUAGUGUGUUAAUAUGACUGAUGAAAUGCAAUAUUACUAAUUUAAUGACAAUCACCUGUCUAACAGUGAUUUCAGGUGACAAGAAGAGUCAAUGCAUUGCAAAACUCCCAACAUUCAUGAAAAAAACUAUUGCAUAUUUGCAAAUGAUGGCUUAAAAAAAUUAGAGAUAAUCAAUUGAUUAAUCUGCAUUAGGGGGAAAAAAUGCUCACAGUUAUACAUUUCUAGACAAAAGUCACAUAAAAGAAGCAAAGUCGCCAAGGUUUUGAAGUAUAGCCUAAAUACACUUAUUUUGAGGGAUCAAAGUACAUCAAUAAGAUCUUUGAAGCCACAUACAAGAUAAAACACAGAAACAGUCCUUGAAACAGCUGAAAUACAUCAAUUUCAAGUAACACCUCAUUGAUGGCAAAUAGAAGAUAAAACACAGAACAGUCCUUGAAAUAGCUAAAAUACAUCAAUUUCAAGUAACACCUCAUUGAUGGCAAAUAGAGGGGGGAACAGAAAAAUCUCUUUCAUAGAUAGCACAGCAUAACCUUUCUUGAAAUCACAUAUCCGCAGUGGGAAAUAAUUAAAUCUUUACGAAACGAUCAUGCAAGUCUAGCAAGGUACGUGGAAUAUUGUCGGUAGAAGAUUUGAAAAGUACACUACCAAAAGCAUCAACCUUCAGGAUACGGUCAUGUACAAGGUUGGUGUCCUGUCUUAAACACAUAGCAUUGGAAAAUGCAGUUAAAUAUCCCCGAGCAAGAACAGAAAAUGACCUGAUAAGUUCAACAAAAUUGUCUGGCAAAUCAAGAAUCCGAGCAGCUAAUUCCAUGUGCAGUUAGGAAUUAACUCUUGUUCCCAUUAUUAUCCCUUAAUUGAUACUUAGCAUGAAGCAGACAAAUCAGCGUUAAUCUCAUAUCAGGCCAUGCCAAAAAUAUCACACUACCGAACCAUUUACAGAAGCACAGUUUACCAGAAUUGCAAACCAUCCUCUUCUACCCCUUCCUCCUCACUGUCUAAAACAUAAUCUUCCUCCUCAGUGUACUCAUCAGGAUCUUCCUCGUCAUCAAUAGAAUUUUUUAGUCCAAUCUGAACAUAACCUCUUUGAUUCUCCCUCAGCCAGUCCUGUUCCUCUUCCCUGUCCUCAUCCUCUUCCUCCUCCCCUUCAGAAAAUGCCGAAAUUCUCAUUCCAUCAAAUUCCGUUGUCCCAACAAGCUGAUCCAUCAAGCUGUCUACACUCCCCUCCCCGUUUAAUCCCCCGUCAAACUCACUGACUGAAAACCUCCCAGUCCUCCUCCCUCCAGAUUCCCUCCUCCUCUUUAUCCGCGACACCAAAUCAUCCUCCUUAAUCUCCCCAUUCUCCACAUCAUUCCAUGGCACCCAUAAAUCCGCUUGCCUCCCUAAUGCUCUGUACCCAUCGCCAAUGACAACAGUCCCCAAAUUGGCCGCCCUCGCCCUCCUCAACAUCUCAGAAAAAUCUGAAUCAUCCGAAACCAAAAGCAACCAAUCAAUCCCUCUACUCAUAGAAUGCUGCAUUUGCCUUUUCAAUGCCCAGUCAGCAGCCUGUGGCUUAUCCUCCACCGUUUUCACAAACACCCCAGCUCGACUAAGCUCGGAGGCUAAUCCAUACCCAACUUUCGGCGAAGUCAAAGUCCUUGCAGCUUCAUUAUACUUCUCAUUGCCAUCAAUAAACCUUUCUUUAAAACGCUGUCGUUUCUUACCUUUCAAUGACCUCAUUCUGUUCAGCUUCUUUUGCCUCUCCCUCUCAUGCAACUGCCUAAAAUGCUUCUUUAAAUCCAAAUGUGUCUUACAUUUUCUCCCGCAAACAGAGCAAAUAUACGGUUCAGAAGGGGUAGAAACACCUUUCCUCUCAAGAAUGUCCAUACGCCGUUGUUCUCGGCGUUCUUCAACAACCCAUUGAGGCAAAUGAAUGAAAGCGUGUCGAUUAGCGUAAGCAGAGAUAUCAACCAGGUCGCCGAAAUGCUGGGCCACUUUUUUUAAGGCCAUCGCCGCCUGGUACGGCGGCCCGCGAGGGGGCUUGUUAUCUAAGUCCCAUAAGACCACUACUUUCUUAGGCUUAGCUGUGUAGAUGCCUUCUUUGGUUCUCACCAUAUCGAUUUCGCUCUCGGCUGCAGCUGCUGCUGCUGCACAGGCUCUGAUGUUGGCCCAUUUACCAGAUGAAUUGGGGUCGGAUAGGGAGAGGGGUUUUGGGGGUUUUUGGGGGGCGAAUUGCGGAAUGAGAAAAAGGGGUUUGGGGAAUCUGUAGUGGGAGAAUGGUGGAGAAUUUAGGUGGAUGAAUUCAAUGGAGGUGCAUAGGGAGUUAAUCAUGGUAAACUUUAUAGCUUAUGGGUUUUUGGCGGGGGAUUCCGGGAUUGUGUAGGUGGUCGCAGGGAAGAGGAAGGAGACCUUGUGGAAGUUGAGAUAAUUUCAGGAGGGAGAUGAGAAUAUUCUCUGCCUCCAAUAGCAGCAGCUGAAUGUUCGGGAAAUGCAGGUGCACGAAUCUUGUUGGUUCUGAAUCACGUCUUCAACAUGAACGCGCUUCGUCUUAUAUCAUACCCGUUCUGCGCCUUUGCCUUUCAUUUGGGGGAUUUUUUUUUCUUGGAUCAAUGUAUAGCUGAAAAACGCUCAAUGAUUACGCCAUGAUAUAUAUAUAUAUAAAGGUUUUGAAUGGAAAAAAAAAGCAUAUAUAGGUUUGCGAAAUUGGGAGAAUAUGAACUUGGAGGAGUGAGUAUGGUGUUCAAGGGAUCGAUGUUUUGUGCUGCGACCAAGUUGCCUUGGGCAUUUCCCGUUUUUCAAGUCAGCAAAUCACAAGUCUGUAGCAAUCCAAGUGAAGUCUCAAAUUGUUUACGCUCAAAAGGAUGAGCAGGUUUUAUCAUAUUACUGACAAAAGACUUCCUACAUAUUAUGCACUGCCAUCUCAUAUAUUAGAACGAACGAUCCAAAACAUUAUUGACAUUUCUGCGACAUUCAUUCAACUGCCCAGCGUCCUCCUGCUGUUGAAAAGUCCAUAACCGUUUUGUUUUGGAUUUGAGAUCCAAAACAAUUGGAGAGUGGAACCAACCAACGAAUGGGAGGAAUGGAACUUAAUCUGGAUUGUAGGGCGGGCAAAAGCGCAGAACUGCCAAACAAUUUUCAUUUGCCGGUGGUCCAAACUAGUCAUUACCACUUUACCAGUCGAGCAGAGGUGUUGGUGUCCUGAGCUGAGAUGGACCAGUGGUAAUGUGGGAGAGAGCCCAUAAGCAUAAAGGAGGAAGGUAGUAGGUACUAGUAGAACCUAACAAGUGGAUGUAAAAAGCCCAUUAUUCAGGUGUCUGUCUGCUGACACAUUGGUGACGUUGAGUGACAUCUCAAAUACUACAUACUUUUUGCGAUGUCCGAGAUUAAUCUUCAAUCAUGCCUUACUUCUCUAAUCAUUCUCCGGGAUACUUUUGUCCGGUUGGAAGAGGCAAAAUGGGAUGGACAAGCUCCUGUUUAGAUGGUUUUGCUUGCCUACUACUACCACAGUAGUAGUAAUAUUUAUCUUAACCCCAUAUGACUCAGUUUCCAAUAUUUGCUUUGCUUGCAGCAUCCAAUUUGUUUAUUUGGUGGGAUUCUUGUUCUUCCUUUUCUUUUUUCAUCUUGCAGCAGAGCAGCGCUUUUGUCGUAGCCAAAAUUACCGUUGUGCUUCGUGAAAGGGGAGGUCCUUUGCUUAAUUGAAUUCACACAUAAUUAAUGUAAAAUAUCAAAUACAUAAAAAUAUCAAAUUAGUGAUACAAUUAAUUACUGAGCUCUGGAUGAGAUAGUGACUAGCAUUUGGAAGGGAGCAAGCGUGUCAAAACCAUUUGUAAGUUUUGUUUUUCAACUUGACGUCAAUACAGGUUGGUUCAAUUAAUAAAAAAGUAACACUUCCUCACAAAAAUUGGUCCCAAUAUGAGGACUGUGUUGGUGUGCAAUUUAUAAGGAUUUCUGUAAGCGAUCUAUAGAUUCAGAGAUAUACUCUGAUCGGUAACGAUGAUUGAAAUCGAGCACACUCAAACUUUUCAUGAUAAUCAGAAAAAAAAAAUGCAUUUGUAACUUGCCAUAACAUAACGUUGUUCACUUGGCUGGUUCAAGUGCUCGGACUUGCCUGUGCGCUUCACUUGACUUCUUUCAUUCUCACAGCAAGUUUCCCGUCUCACCAAAAAAAUAAUAAUAAUAAAAUUAAAUGCUUUGAUUGCACUGUUUGAUGACAUCACUUUCUUACUUUUGGAUAAUUAUUCAAGGGACGGACAGCAGGAUGGAUGAGUCAGUAGUGUAUUAUAGUGGUGCUCUAUGGAGGAGAAUUUCAUACUGUUCUGUGCUUUUAUAAUAUCAUACUGAUGAUGUGUUAGAUUAAUAAUAAUAAUAAUUUGAGUAGAUGAGAAUUUGGUGGGAGAUGAUGUGGAUCAUUUAUGAUUGUGAUUCUCGGAUUUACAGGUUGUCUGGAUCCUGAAUGGCGUUGACGCCACCAUUAUUCUCUAACCUCCCAACAAUACAUUACUACUUUAAUUAAAUCACAUUUUAGUCAACCAAAUUUUUUUCAGGAUUGAAUUUGAAAAUCAGGCUUAUACUAGCCUAACGUGGAUUAGACAAUAAUUAAUAUUAUACUCAAGAAUCUCUAGUGAUGCUAAUUUUUUCUUUUUUUUGUCUUUUGUAACUAAGUGAAAUUUCUUGCGAACCAGCAAUACCCAACGACAAAAAAAGUUAGGUUCACUCAAGACUUCAAGAAAUGGGGCAGCUGCAACGCGUCCUUUAUUCAUUCCAGAUUAAGGCCUUGUUUGGAUUGCCGGUUUCCGUCGAAAAAUUACGUCGUUUUCUGUGAUCACAUUUCCCUAUUACCUUUUUCCCUCACAUACAUCAAAUCGCUACAGUAAUUUUUCCAUGAAAAAUCACGGAAAAUGCAAUCCAAACACAACCUAAGAUGUUUCAAAUCAAAUCUUGAAACGCACGCAAAUAUUUACCAUUGCCAAAACAAAAAAAAAAAGGCAUCAAAUAUCUUACGUUAAAAUUAUAAAGUAAAAUAUUUCGGUCCUGUCUAUUGAUUGUUAUCGGCCAAGAUUUUUAUUUUAUAUUUUUUGAAGUAGACAGCAUGCGUUAAUCAAACAGAAUCAUAUGUAUGUUAACUACUCCAUUAACUAAAAGAACCCAUCUGCUAAAAUUCUAAAUUCCCCCAGAAAAAGUUGCUUUCACAUUCACGAGGAAUAUUAUGCAAAUUUAAGAGACCUGAUGUACUUGUGAGGCCUCAAGACAAAAAACUAACUAUUUUCAAAAUUCCCUGCACUAAAAAAAAGAACAGAGAAUAAUUCACGCCUUUUGUUUCCAGGCUUAAGCAAAAUGAUUACUGCUUUCACUGGCCCCCCGGCCCCACCACCUGAAUAGAUUGAUUAUUCUAACCUCAAAUAGAUUUAACUGCUGUCGACAAAAAACUACCGUCACCCAACCAUCUUCCCUUGCGAUAAAUCUUUGCUCUUCCCUCGUUUGUCUUUUCCCUUUUUAACAUUUGUCUCCAUCGGUUCAUCCCCUUUUUGUUAGAAGUAAUCCACGCCUUUUUAAGAAUGUUUCAGCCUCUCUCUCUCUCUCUAUAUCUCUAUCUCUCCUUGUCCUUGAGGACCCUGACCAAGGUUUGGUUCUCUAGAAGGGCUGGCUUCGCACAAAAAUUGAUAGAUUGACUUCUCUACCCUUUGAAAAUGAAAUUGAAGUUAAUCAACAAUCCACGGCGCCCCACUAAUACUUUCACGCAUUAUCUUGAAGGUUUUCAACCUAGUCGUCCGGUUGCUUCUUUUACAUGCAACUGUGUAAAAGCGAUAACUUGGUUCGCAACUUGAACUAAAACGCCAUUUCGUUAAAGUUAAAAUAAUAAUUAAAAAAAAUCUACAUCUACCCACAAGUUGAUCUAAAAGACCAUCUUAGCAAAGUGAAGAAAAAAAAAGAAGAAAUCUGGUAAUAUAAGCAUCCUUUUUUUUUCCUUCUCUUUCAAGGAAGAUUUUUAAAUUUUGCAAAGAAUAUGGUAAAAGAAAGAAGGUUUGAGUGUUAAAUUAUGAACUUUACUAUUGGAACCUUGAUGCUUGGAUCUAUUUAACGGGUGCCCUCGUCGUUAAAAUAUGUUUCAGAUGUUAUAUUUUUGAUAAAUAUAAAAUUAAUUUUUUUUUAAAAAAAGUAAAUAAAUAUAAGGGAAGGUGAGUGAGAUUCGGUAGGAAAAAGCAUAUAAAUGCAAUGGAGGAUAAUAAUAAAUAUAUAAAUGCAAUGGAGUAUUUCUUAUACAGCUUAAUUGCUGUUGGUGUUAAUUUUAUGGGAUAAUUUCACAAACCUCCCCGAGAUUUUUAACAAUUACAAAUAGCUCUUCUCAGGUUUUAAAAAUUACAUAUACCUCCCCUACUUUUAAUGUUUAGUAACAAUGUAGGUCCAAUAAGAUAGAUUUUUUCACAAAAAUCCUAAAUUGCCCUUUUUUUUACAAAAUUAAGAAAGAAAAAUAUAGUAUAUUCAAUCAUUUUCUUCCAUACUUUACAUAAAUUAACAAGCUUAAUUCCUAACAACCAUCCAAGCAUAAGUUCUGAAAUCAAGUAGUUGUUCAAAAAAUCCUAAAUUACAGAAAAUAUCAAUACUUGCCACGUAAAAAAAAAAACACGCACACAAACCUAUUUGGCAAUCAGUUGUACCAAAAAUUAUAUAUCAAUACCUAAAUACCUUUUCAAUACAAGCUAAUCUGACCUAAAACCGUCAUUACAACCAUCUUAUAGUUUUAAAAUUAUUAAUAUCUCAAAAGUAGAGAAUAAAUUCUACCUCCAUAAUAAUCGUAAUAAAAAAUCUAAUCCAAUGAAAGAAAUCCAUAUAUAAUUAUUGACAUUUUAUAAAAAAAUUUUGUGACAACAAACAAAAAAUGACAAUUUUCACAUCUUUAGUUCUUUUUCCUAUCUCAAUCAUCAAUUUCAUUAUUUAUUUCUCUAUCGCUGUGAGUCUUUUCAUUUCCUUCUAAUUUGACACAUAAUCUCCUCUCUGUUGCUUUGUGAAUUUCAAUUUGCUAAUAUCCACAAAAUUGAAGAUAAUAAAAAGAUGUUAUUUUAAUUAGAAAAGAUAGGAGCGAAAAUAAACAAGAGACAGAAAAAUAGAAUUUUUUGGGUUUUGUAAAUUUAUUGCCUUAAAUUUAAAAUUGUCUAUCAAGUGGAGGGUAUUAUAGGUAUUUUACUAUGCUAAGGGAGGUAAGUAUAAUUUUUUAAACUUGAGGGGAGCCGAGUGAAAUUGUUAGAAAUCUCAAGGGAGGUUUCUGAAAUUAUCCCUAAUUUUAUUUAGCAUAGUUAAAUGAGGAGAGAGGGAGACAGCAAGGAGAGAUGACUCAGUCAAUAAAGAAAGGCAUUAAUGAAGAAGUAUCUCAAGAGCAUGCCACCUCUCCAUCAGUACUACUAACUAUUCUCUUUUGUUUGUUUUCUGAUUUUCUUACUCUUUUUGGUUUCUGUUGCUGGCGCUGCUGCUGCCUUCCUUGAACAUUUCUUUAAUUUUCCCAGUCCACGCCCCCCUCCUCAAACCUUUCAUCUAUCCCCUCCCUCCUUUUGUGUGCACCUUUCUCCCCUGAUUUCUCUUCAAUUAACAUUCCUCUCCUUUUGAAAUUUCCCAACACAAAUUACUUAGCAGCAAACUUCUCCUUUUCCUUUUUCCUUGAAAAUUUUUUUUUUUCCAGGAUUGAAGAGAACUUAAGUUGGAAGAAGAGAUGUUCGAAUGGUUACAAGCUGCAAUAGUGGCAGCAUGUAUAGUAGCUUUUGUGUUGAUAAUUGUGAUCAUCAAGAGAUGUUUCUGUUCCAAUAGAAAGCGUAGAGAAAUUCUUGGCGGAAAUGAAGAAACAGUGCCUCAGAGGUUGGAAUCAGGAACAGCAAAACUUCACCAUGUGAGUCUUCAUCAUCUUGAUCGAGAUGGAAGCAAGAGAACAAAUUAUUAUGUUUUCCGACGUGGGCUAUCUACAAGACCUUUUUUCAACUGGGCUGAUCAUCCUUCUCUUGUCACCGAUGCUGUUGAAAAUGGAUGGUCAAGAUUUGCUUUUACAACCUUUACACCAUCUCCCUCAGCUCGAUCAACAAGAUCCCUGUUAGGUCCGUGUGCAACUGGGGAUCACGACAGACAAAUGGAGGUGGAAAUCAGUUGGGAAGUUUGCCAAGGAUCAGCUGAUUUUCUGCAGAAAAUUAGACUUCAUUCUGGAUUAAAGAAAAUACCAAAUACGGCCAUCAAUUCUUCAAUGGUGGCUAAAUCUGCGAUCAGAACAGCUUUGCCUUUGCCUGGUCCACCAUUAGGAAAUUCAGCUUUUCCACAGGAAGCCUAUUUUGAAAUCAUAAUUUUACCUUUUGGUGAAGAUCAAAAUGACGUGGUUGGCAAGGCAAAAGGAGGUAGAUUAGACGGGGACAAAAUAAAACUCAUUCAAGAGGAUUUCAACGCAAAAGUCAGUCCUGAGACUUUAAUUAAUUUUCCAAGUGGCCAUGGUAACGGCAAUAGCAAGCUAGAGGAAAUGAAACUUGCUGGAAAACAGGAUGGAAAAACUGGAGCUGCUGUGCUGUCGAUUGGGCUUGCAGGAGGCGGCCCUCUUCCGCUUAAGCUUCCGGGAAGCUAUCCAGGAUCGAUUGGAUUCAAUUCUAAUGGUUCCAUUUUUCUUGAUGGUAAGUUUCUCAUUUGCUGUCUCGUGCAAUCUACACAAAUUACAAUGUCAGACACUGUUCUGCGGUCAAACUUUCGCUGUUCCAUGUAAAAGGUGGGGAUAUGGCAUUAAAAAAAGGAACAACAACCUAAUCAGCGCCGUUCUUUUUCGAACUGCACCAGCAAAUAGGCAUUCGAGUACAUGGAGAACAGUUAAAUAGCACCAUUUGCUUACACAACCAAAUGUGCCACUAUCUUCUGAAAAAAUCUAUAUUCUGCAUUGUCUGCACAUCACUAGUUUCAGGAUAGUCAUGAAAUCGGUUGUCAUUAUAUACCGUCGCAGAUAAAUGCGCCAUAUUGCUUAACCACCCAAUUAAAAGAUGCUCCACUUCGAUUUUAUAGAGAUAGCCUAAGGCAGAAAAAAUUAUGUUCAGAAUAUAGGUGUCAGAAAAGAGAAUAUAAUCGACUUAAACAUUAGAGAAGGGAACGAGGUCCACUCCUCAAGCUUAGGUGAUAAAAGAAAAUAUUGGUUACUAGUUGCAAAUAUUCGAUUUGAAGACGGUCGGUUCUUAUUUGUAGUUAUAGACGUUCUUAAGAAACUGACUAGGUUAGGACGAGAAAUUGACCCUUGCUUAUGCGCAAUACCAUUAAUUCAUAGUCUUUUGUUUUAUGUAUCCAGGUGUCAAACUUGUGUUCGAGUCUGAAAGGGAAGAAUGGGGAAGAGCAGACACAGUGAUUGGUUGUGGAUACAAUCCUAGCCAGAAAAAGGUUUUCUUCACGGUGGAUUCUCAGCUUGUGCAUGAAAUUCACUGUAAAUCCGAAGAAUUUGGAACUCCACUCUACCCAACAUUGGCAGCAAAUAGUGACAUUACAGUUCUUGUUAAUCUUGGACAAUGUGCCUUCAAAUAUUCACAAGCAAAUCUUCAAAGAACUCCGAAUCCUUGCUUCAUUGGCCCUCUUGCAAAUUCUCCGGUAUUGGGGUAUGAGGACAGCAGAGAGCUCUUUUCAAUGGGGAGAAUAGAUGCUCAGUGGUUAAACAGAAGUACGACAAGAAGCACCAGCACCCCUGGCAACAAUAUGAACAGAGGAGUAGAAUUUGAUGAAGAAUCUGAAGGUGAUUUAUUUGAAAUCGUCUUAGAUAGUUAUGGAAAAUCACCAAUCACGAACACAUCGUAGCGGCACACCCAUGAUUUUCGUCAGCCUUUCUUUGCCUGUUUCUCUUGUAAGCAUGGCAUUGUUGAAGUUGGAACAAGGCAGCCCUGCAGUGUGAAGUUGCUUGCUGAAUCCCUGAUCUUAUUAGAAGCCCAGCGACACUUACAAACUGCGCCUUGCAGAAACCAGGGAGAAAUUUUUGGCUCAAUACUCCUUGGAAACUGAGAUUUUGACUAGUUGUGAAGAUGUUUUGUAAAUAACAGAGUUGGUUAGAUUGUAAAAGUUUCUUGCUUUGGGUACAUAUUUUGGAAGAAUCAAACUUAAAAGAGAUUUGACAAAAUGCAUUUCGUUCGUAUAGGGGGUGGAGAGCUUGCUUUCAUUCUGCCCGUUGAUUGACUUUCAAGAAGCCAGAGUAUUUAAUCUGGGAUAUUAUUAGAACUGUUUACAUCCCUCAACUGUACUGUAGAUACUUCUGGGCUUUUAGCACCAUAUCUGCUGAAUUCAGUGAAUCAAUUUCUACUAUUUAGAUGCAUGAACCUUAGCGAUUCAUGGACAGGGUAUCAAAUGGUUGACCAAUAUAAUAUACAUCCCUUCCCUUCAAAUUGUAAUCUAUGUAUGGCUGUUAUCACUUCAAAAACAACCCAAGAUAAAAACAACUUUUUGUUUUGUUUAGGGCUGAAACUAGUACAACGAUUCAUAUUAUAAGCAACUAAAUAAAAAUAAGUAUUCUGCAGCUGACCAAAAAAAUAUGAGUAGUAUUCUACAGAUGACAUACAACCAAAUUUUUAUCUUGAUUCUACGCGUGGUGUCGGUUAGAUUGAAUCUGGCAGACUCCGAAUUUGAUUCGUAAUUAAGGCACCGGCAACAGGGCAUCGACUGCGUCAUGGAAUGGAGGUCAUGCUGGUAUAGGAAGAAAGAGAAUCUUGACCUUUCUAGUCAAUUAUUGGUUCAAGAAAUUUAGAAAUUAUACAAUAACACAAAAGUAUGUUUUAUUCACUUUGGCCUCUCUGAAGUGGCCAAACAUUUUAAUUAAAGCCACCAAAAGAGAAAUGCUUGAAUUUUGGCCUUCCGAAAGCGAAAAUUUGUUGAACUUUUUGCAUUUUUUUUUUAGUGUUUUAAUUACUAGUAUGUUUGUCGCAUGACUUCAUAGAAGCCCUUGGUUGAAGUGAUUAUGAUAUGUUGAAGACAUUGGAGGAAUGAAUUUAUGAAGACUCUUAUUCCCACUGUCUUGCAUAGAUUGGUCAAACAAACAAACGAACAAACAAAAAAGAGAAAAGUGCAAAAUAAAGUGAUUUCUAGUUGAAAACUUUUGCCUCUUAAUAUAAAUAUACAGUAGUAGAAUUCGAAGUCCAAAAACAGCCCUGGAAUUUUUCUCAAGUAAUCAUUAAGUCCUCUCUAGGGGGCAUCGCAAAGGAAUCUGGAACUAAAGUUGCAAAGUGGAACAAGUUUCUUAUUUGGGGAACCAAUGCAAACUCUUUCACUUUUGGGGAUUCAAUUGAACUGUUUGGCUAUUUUCGAAGGCAAAAACUGAAAUAAACGAGUUCUGCUCGAGCCCAAGCCCAUCAAAGUAGCAAACAAUUCGCAUGUCAAAUCGUGGCCUGGGCUCCUUAUCUGGUCCAAAGACAUGGUGAAUAAGCUUUCAUGCCCUGGGCUACCCGUUACUGCGAUCCGUAUCCUCUAGUCUGGAUUAGGCUUUGGUGCCGAAGUUAUGUUCUUUCAUUUUCAUUAACCCAUUUGUCAAAAUCACAGGAAUAAUCUGCCAAAUUAAAUGAUGAAUGUUUCAAAGUCCUAAACCCUUGCAUGCAUCGCAAUGACAAAUGUUACGACACAUGCAAUGUCCAAGUUUGGAUUACAUUACGCUCUACCAAACCUCUUGCAUUUUAGAUUACAGCCAAAACACUUGCUCCAGAGACUGAGAUCCUAUUUAAUAACCCAAUUCAACAUUUAAAUUUAAUGAAUUCAAAUCUUAACAUAUUCAGAUAGUUAGAUAACCAAAAAUUGAACAUCUAAAUUAAUUAAUUAGCACUUAAUUUCUUGGGUAAAACUUGCUCCAAAAAUUAAGUGAUAAGUUAUUCACUUUAUCACUAAAUGUGAUAUGCACUCAAAUGUAAUAGAUUAAUACUUAAUAAUUCAUAAUUUAAUGGAUUCAAAUUUCAAAUUUCAGUUUUAUCAAAUGCAUCAUAAGACGUAAUAAAAGCCAAAGCUUAUCACUUUAUUUAUUUUUUUAAAGUGAGAGGUGUUCAACUUAAGAUUUCUUAUUUGUAAUCUCUCUCACUUUAUCAUCCAAUCAAAUUUUUUCCUUUUUUCUUAAAAUUGUUUUCUGACAGGAGAAGAGAAGAGUGAGAUUCAAAAAACGAGAAGGCACAGGGGAUUAGAAUUUAGAACUCUUAUGUUCUGAGGCUGAAUAUUAACUACUAAACCAAGGCCACGAGUUGCUUGUUCCCAAUCACAUUGCUUGCUCCCAAUCACCCUGAAUAUUAACUACUAAACCAAGGCCUUCAAACCCAAAAAAUAAAAAAUUGCUUGUUGCCAAUCACAAUCCUUGCUGGAUUAGGAACAGAGGCUCCAAUCUUGCAAAACCAACUUGCCAAAUGGAACGGAUUUAUGAAAUGAUCCCUUGAAAAAGAUCUCAUUUCUCAUCAUGAGGAAUUUUUUUUUUUUUUUCUUCUAAAUUGCUUCUGUAAUCAAUUAGAAUUCGUUUGAACCAUUCAUCUCUUUUCUUGAUUUAAUUGGUAAAUCUCAAAACCUUAAAAUUUUUUGUAAACUUUUUGACUGAGUUAUAAUCUAAAAGAAAAUUUUUGGGAGAAGGAGAUCAAUGAAUGAUUCCUAUGUACUUAAAUUUUUUUUUUUCAUUGUUAGCUAAUUUUUCCAUCAGACUUGUACAAGUCGUUUUUUUUCCCAAAGGACUUGAACAAGUCUUAAUCAGAACAAAAGACAUCUUUAAAAAAUAAAAAAGAUAGGAGAAGGGAUAUUUGUUGUACGACGAUUCAAUCCGGAGUAUAAUAUAAGAAGUGUGUGUAAGGAGUUAGGAACAUUUUCUAGUGGGAUCCGAACUCUCGGAUGAUCCGUAGGAACAUUUUUCUAGAUUUUAUAAAUCAGUUUGUCUGUCUAACGGCUGUGUUAUAUUUUUAAAAAUAUAAAAUAAAUUAAAUAAAUUAAAAUAAAUAUAAGCGAGAGAGUAAGUAAAAAUUAAAUUAAAAAAAUAUAUAAAUAUUAACAAAAAUAAUUAUUAUUAACAUAUAUAUAUAUACACACGCAUGAUAGGUUAUAUAAAUAUCAGGUGUAUUAAUGCGUUAGAAAAAAUCCUUUAUAAAUUAACCCGUCAAGGUUAAAACAACGUAUAUUCAACGCGCACGUCUUCGUACGUGUUAUCUGACGAUGAUGUAGCUCACAUUGCAUGCGCAACAAAGCGACAAAGAGCGCCAAUUCCACUUCGUUUGUUGCGCCAGAAAAAUAAAAUGUGGAGGCUAUUCAGUAACAGUUAUUAGAGUCCUGACUCCGGACCAUUUCUACAGGCUAUUAAACGGCGUUGCCAGCUCCCUGUUGUUUGUCAGUGUCAGAACCACAGAGAAAAUUCAAGUCAAGUUCAUUUCAUUUCACAUCAUAACCUGUUAAAGUUCAACUCUUUUUUUUUAAAGUUCAAGUUAAAGUUCAACUCGGCAAGAACAAUUGUCGACCCUUCUCCAGCAGGACUACUGUCUUUGUUCCUCUCACCAUGGCUUCGGUGGACGCUGCCAAACUUCAUGCGCUAUUUCUCCCAUACUUCGCACCAAGCCAUAUGAUUCCUCUGGUUAAUGUUGCCAGGCUCUUUGCCGCCCAGGGCGUUAAGGUUACAAUCCUCACCAGCAAGUACAACGCGGUCUUGUUUCAAUCCUCCAUCGAUCAUGCCACUGGAUUAGGCCACGACAUCUCCGUCCACAACUUGAAAUUUCCAUCGGCUGAAUUGGGAAUACCUGAAGGAAUUGAGAACUUCAGCGCGGCCACCACAACGGAAAUUUUGUGGAAAGUAUACAUGGGCGUGAUGCAGCUCCAGACUGCAAUGGAAGAAUUUAUUGAAGAACUGAGUCCUCACUGUAUUAUCUCGGACAUGUUCUAUCCUUGGACAGUUGAUUUAGCCGAGAAGCUGAAGAUACCGAGAAUCUUGUUCUAUCCGAACAACUUCAUCUCUCACUGUUUGCCCCACAGCUUGCGGGAGUAUGAGCCUCAUAAGUCUGUUAAGUCAGAUUCUGAGAGGUUCUUGAUCCCUGGUUUACCAGACAGGAUCGAGAUGAAAAGGUCUCAACUGGAGGAUCACAUGAAGACCGAAACUCCGCUUGCUGAGUUGUCAAGGAAAGUAAGAGCAUCAGCGCUGAGGAGCUUUGGCUUGGCUUUUGACACCGUUUACGAGUUUGAACCUCAAUAUGCUGAUUACUUCGGAAAGGUGAAGGGGACAAAAUAUUGGACCAUUGGCCCUCUUUUCUACUUCUCCUACAAGGAGAAAACUGAUAAUUCUGCUGAUGGGAAGGGCGGUUGCUUAAACUGGCUCGAUACUCAGGCCCCCAACCGAGUCCUGUACGUUUCAUUCGGAAGUAUAGCGAAAUUCGGCGACGCACAACUGCAUGAAAUUGCAAUUGCUCUUGAGGCUUUGAACCAACCGUUUAUUUGGGUCGUCAGGAAGAGGGAAAGUAACCCCGAUGGUCAACAAGAAAGCUGGCUACCAGAUGGUUUUGAAGAAAGAAUAACCAAAGGAAACAAAGGUUUGAUCAUCAGGGGUUGGGCGCCUCAGUUAAAGAUCUUAAACCAUCCAGCAAUUGGAGGGUUUAUGACUCAUUGCGGUUGGAACUCAACGAUGGAAGCUAUGACUGCUGGAGUGCCAUUGAUUUCGUGGCCAUUGUUUGCUGAGCAGUUUUACAACGAGAAACUUCUUCUCGAGGUUCUAAAAGUAGGAGUCAGUGUUGGGGCAGAUCAUUAUCACGCAAGUCCGAUCAUAGAGGAUCCUUUGGUGGAAUCGGAACAUAUACAGGCAGCAAUAAACCGAUUGAUGAGCAGCUCUGAAGAAAGUCAGGAGAUCAGAGACAGGGCAAAGGAGAUGGCAGCGUUGGCAAAGAGGGCUGUGGAAGAAGGUGGAUCAUCCUAUCAAAAUCUGCUUGAUUUGAUUGAUGCAUUAAAAUCAUGUGCUUUUAGUGUCAAUAGUUAGUUAUCAUCAAUACUACUGGCUAUGAUCUUCGAAUAAAAAUUUUUGACGUGGCUGAAUACACAAGUACUCUUGUUGGCCAGUUCGCUAUUGAUGUCAACAGUUAGUUAUCCAUACUGCUACUAUGAUCUUCCCACGAAAAUUUUGUAAUUUGGCAGAAUGCAUGCAUAAUCAAGUUGGUCAGUUCGCUACUGAUCUUCAAAUUCGAUGUCAACUGUUAGUUAUCCGUUGCUACUACUGUGAUCCUCAAAUGAAAUUUUGUAAACUGGAAAAUGUGGGCAGAAUACUUGUAUAUUCAAGUGGGAAAAUGGGGCAGAAAGAAUGCAUACAUAUUCAAGUGGGUCGGUUCACUGUUGAUCUGCAGAUUUGAUGUCAACUGCAGUGAAGUCAUCUCUGGUAACUUGAAUCACCAUAAACUUGAAUGACAGAAGCUAGAACGCGCAAAAAACAAGAAACUCCGAGGCCCGUCAGGAAACAGUUGAUACCAUACUAUCUCUGGCAAACAAACAACUGAACAAGAAGCCGAUUCCGCACUCAAAUUUCAGAAUAAGAAGAAAUUAAUUUAAGCACGCAGCUAAUCGGUGGUGUUUGUUCUGAAAAGCUGAGAACGUUGUACUCAAUUACUGUUGCUUACUGUUUGGUGAAAGUGUCUUCGUCACCUGGAGAGUCUUACUUAUAGGAGCACUACUGGUUCUGUCUGUCUUGAACAAGACCCAGUGAAAUUGUACCGCUUUUCAUCAAAAAUUGAUCUGGAAAGCCGGCUUCCAAAGAUUAAUGAUAUUAAUAAGGGAACACUUACAUCAAGCAGAAAUUUAAUAGGCGACUAAUUACUAAACGCCAUGCCAUGUAACAUAAGUUAUAUACUGCCUGCGUCUCUCAUCGUCUUAAAACUUUGGGUUAAUUACAUUUACCUCCCCUGAGGUUUAACCAAAUUACCAUUUACUCCCUGAAAUUUAGACAAACUACAAAAAGGUCCCUCAAAUUGAAAGAUGUAUAACAGAUACACCCCUCCCGUUUGUCUGUUGCUGUUGACUGUUAAGAUUAUAAUGAUGCCAUCAUACAAAUUUAAUGAAAUGCCUAGAUUGCCCCUAAAUCCAUAACCUUCCCUUCCCUUCGUUGCUUUUCUUCAAAACCUAACCUACUCCAUUUACCACCGUUGACAUAACUAUGGCAGCAAAAUCAUCGAGAUAUAUUAUCGAUACCCACUUUCAUGAUCAUUUUCUUGGUGAGCAUGUUUUCACUGUCAAAAUCAUAAUAAAUUUAUAGAAAUUUAAUUGCCCUCAUCUCUAUUAUUCCCAUAACAACCAUCCUUUUAACUCUGUUAUAAGCAGAGAAAAAACCCAUUUGAUAAUAUCAAACCCAAUGACCAACUACAGAUAUAACCCAGAGUUGAAAAAAUGAUUAUUUGGAACUCUAAAUACCCGCAUGAAUCAAGUCAGAUCCUGGUUGAUAACCAUUAAUUCCUCACUGCCAAUUUGAGUGAGUUUGAGAUUUUACUCGUCUCUGGAUUGGUCGAUGUGAUUGUGGUAGUUGCAGAGAAGGGAAAUACAACAAACAAGAUUAUUGGCCGACAAAGGGUUACAGACUUGUAGAGACUCUUUUGUGGUGGAUUGAGUGAACCUUUACAUUGCUUCUAUAAAUUUUCUUUCAUCGCUCAAUUGUCGGUUUCCUUUUUUCACUCUACUUUUUUUUUCCAUUCCUUUCUUUGCUUUUCACAUUUUAAUUUCUUUUUUGUUUUCUAGGCUUUCCUUCUUUCUUCAAUUUCUUUCUUUUGUUCCUUUAUGCACAUAUUUUAUCAAAUUUGAGUAUUACAUGCUUGGUUUUAUUUUUUUCUUUUAUACUGGUUAAAAACUGUUUUAUUUAAGUAGCAAACUCUUAGUUUAAUUUGUUAUUAUUGAAACCACCUUCGAUUUUUUAACGGUAAGUUUUCUCUAACUACAAAUUUUUACAGAGAGGGUAAAUAUGACAUUUUACUACUUCUAUUUAAGUUAUGACAUUUUACUACUUCUAUUUAAGUAUCUUUGACGGGGUUACUUAAAAAGAAGGUACUUGUAAUAUUACCACACCACAGGCAUUUAAUGGUAGUUUGGUCAAACCACAAAGGAGGUAGAUGUAAUUAACCCUUAAAAAUUUGAUGGAAAUCAAUAAGGAUUAUUCAGACUUUUGGCUAUUUCCAUUACUUGUAAGUGACCGAAGUUAGUGUGGGGGAGGAAUCUGUUAUUUGGUCAAAUCUCAGGGAUCGAUUCGUUAUUUGGUCAAACCUCAAGGGAGGUAAAUGUAAUUAACCCUAAAACUUAACGCCAUGCCAGUUGUAUUUGAAUGCAACAUACAUGACACUUAUCUUGGCGUCCAUAUAUAUGAAAAGGAUUGCACCAGGACCAUAAUAUGAUUAUAAGACCACAGAACAAUAAUGCUGGCAUUCUCACUCUUACCAUAGCAAAGCACAAAGGAAUCCCAUCUACGCAAACCAAUAAAGUACACUUGAUUUUCAUAAAGACGAGAGGUUUCCAGUUUAAGAACAUCAAGCCAUGUGAUUCUUUCUUUAUUCUCACGCCACAUCAGUUCCAAAGCGGGGGAAAAAAAUUAAAGCUAAUGCCAUUACUUAAACUGAUAAACAGGAAGGUUGAGAAUAGGAACCUCAUCAUCACAAGAGAAAAAAGCCAUUUAUGGCCCUAACACCAGCAUAUUACCUAAAGCUUUUCCAUCCGAUACCAGAGUUUAAUACGUCACUACCAGACAUGACAUCUUGCAAUGACGUUUUAAAAUCAAAACCAAGACAACAUAUGCACACCUCCAAAAGACAGUUGAAUGGGCACCAAAUUCUAAUGACGGGUCCAAGUGAAAGAUAGAACAUGUACAAAACAGCUGACUAACAUUACAAGUUGCUGAAAAUCA